This 74836-nucleotide long non-coding RNA is filed under the name Manihot esculenta (cassava). RNAcentral's name for it is "long non-coding RNA (MESC_LNC001004)". The record is from RNAcentral. Lineage: Eukaryota; Viridiplantae; Streptophyta; Magnoliopsida; Malpighiales; Euphorbiaceae.
AAAAAAAAAAAUCAAAACUGUGCACUCCGGUUCAAGUGUUAGAGCCCAGUCCUGCCCGGCUCUGAAACCCCGGAUUCUGAUUCGAAACCGGAUCGUGACCGCAACGCAGGCCAUUCUACCCUACAAAAUCGGGAACACGAACCCGUCCAACCAAUCCGCUAUCAAAUAACUUAAAACGCACAACUGGGUAACUUCAUUUGCAACCGCGAUCUGUCCAACCGUCACCGGAGAUCGGCCAUGGCCGCUUCCUCCGCCGGAAAUCCACUUCCGGUAGACGUUUCAUCUUCUUGCGCUACUCCUUUCGUAUUAUCUUCCGAUUCUACGCCCGGACUCUCUCUUACGCUGGAUCAGAUUAAGUAUAGCUCUGAUGCUCUCCAAUUCUUCAAGAACAAGCUCUGCACUCCAGAAUGAAUCACUCAAGAGUUCGCUCAUUUGCAGGUUCUAUUUUUUUUCCUUUUUUGUUGCUGAAAAGCAAAUCACAAUGCUAAACAAGCACAUAAAGCAAGUAAAAGUUAAUUUUUGGGGUUCUUUUUAUAUAUAAUUAAGCGAAAGCCUUGUUGGUUUCUUUGGAAACUGGAAUUGAUGUUUCAGCAUAGUAGUGAAGAACUUUAAUUGGAUAGAAAUAUAAAGCCAUAUCAACUAAUUCCCUAUUAGGAGUCCAUAUAGGAGGUGCAGUUGCAGUUGCACUUGCUCAUUGGAAAAAUUGGGUUAAGGUCCUAAUGCGGCUUUUGAUUAAACAUCUGUAAAUGCGAUUUUUUUUUCUGAAGCAUGAAGACCAUAAUCUUGUUGCAUAAGUUGUUUGAUAAUGUUGAAAUGAAUUCAAUUCUUGUAUGAUUUCAGGUUACUAGGAUAACACCAUCUCAAAUGGCUAGAAGCUGCAAAGUGGCUCUUGAUACGGUCAACUUGAGCAAAAACCGCUAUAUGGAUGUGGUUCCUUGUAAGAAUUUUAGUUAACAAAUUUUCUCUUGCGAGUAUGUGCUACUCAUACCAUUCCUGGAGAUGAGCACUACUGAUUAGCAUUAUUUUAUGUUAUCAAUUUAAGUUGACCAAACUAGGGUUGUUCUUAAUCAAUGCAAGGAUUAUAGACCAUCUGCUAAGGGAUAUAUAAAUGCAAGCUUUAUCAUGGUGAACAUUUACUUACCCUAUGGUUGUUUAUUUUGUCUUUAAUUUGGAAUCCAGAUGAAGUACUUGAAUCAGAUUCCUGAUUGUGUAACAUCCAGUGAUUUUUGUUUGUGCAGACUUCUUCGUCUGAAAGCAUUUCUCAGUUUAUAGCCACAAAGGGUCCACUGCCACACACCUAUGAAGAUUUUUGGGAGAUGGUAAUCCAGUAUCAUUGCCCUGUGAUUGUGAUGCUUACGCGGCUAGUUGACAAUUACAAGGUACUUCGAUUUCUUAAGUUGAAUUAGAAAUAUAAUUCAUUCUAAUAAAUCAUGUAUGAUUAUUCCUAGAGCAAUUAAUGACCAUUUUCACUAUGUUGCAUCUGCCUAUUUUGAAUUUAGUUAUUUUUUUUUUAUAUUAGCUUUUUUUUUUGGGAUUAGAUGUCUUUUUUGAAUUUUGUUUAUAAGUGCUAAAUACUUGAAAACUCUGUUGGAAAAUUGAUAUGCUGUAGUAAAAUUUCAUAUAAGAUUUCUUGUCAAAGGAUCUGAGUAUUAAUUCAUUUGAGUAAAGCGCUUUCUUUCUAGGUUGUUCAUAUUUAGAUCUAAUGAUUUUUCAUCGCUUCUCAUAUGUUGUUUAUGCAGACUGCAAAAUGUGGAGAUUAUUUUCGAGCAGAAGAUGGUCCUAGAGAUUUUGGAAAUAUAUGUCUAGUUACUAAAUGGAUGGAAACUACUAACACUUCAUUAGUGUUGCGCAACUUGGAGGUGAGCUAUAAAGAGGUCAGUAUCAUUGUAAGUCAACUGAAGCAUUGUUGAUGGUGAUAUGUGGAUUCUUUAGGCCAGCGGAAAAUAAUAAAAUAUUUAGGUGCAGUAUGAUAUGUUUGAUGUGGUAAGGAAAACUAGAUUUAAGAAUUAUUUUAUGUAAUAAUUGUAAAGUUAAGAUCAAAUAAAAGGUUUAAGUUUCCAUCAUUAAGGAAAUUUAAUUAGGAAGUAGUAUUUUGAUUAUCUAGGAAUUCUCUUGUUUAGAUAGUAGCAUUGGUUUUGUUUUCCUAGUUCUAUUGAAUUAGUGUUUUCUUCCUUUGGAAUUCCUAAUCAUAAUAUUAGGAGGAUUAAUAUCAUACUAGAAAUACCUAUGUCGUCUAGGUAUUUUAUUGGAGAACUUGUCAUGAUUAUUAUUGACAAUUGAGAAUUUAGAACAUUUGGUAAUUUUUGUUAUUUUCCUGGGAUUGUCUUCUAACUAUUCUUCUAAUGAGCAAACUAGCUGUUCUGUGUGUAACGACCCGAAAAUCGGACCGAUACCGGCGCUAGGAUCCGGGUCGACUUAAGGCCGCCGGGACCCGUAACAAGCCUGACAUGCAACCUGUAAACCUGUUUAACCCCAUACAUGAUCAACAAUUAUACAUAAAAAUUUAAAACUUUUCUUUCAUUCAUUUCUCAUACGCCAAACUCAACCUGUGCAUGCACUAAACAUAAUCAUAAUCAUAAACUUGACCCCUCUGUGGGAUCUCUUCAAUGCCCCCAAUGGGUGGCAAUACAUGUGUUGAGUUGGCUAAACAUAGUCAUUAAUAAACAUUAAGAUCAUGUAUCCAAAAAGGGAUUACAAUAACUAUGGUCAAGCACACUUCUGAACCUCAAUAUCAUUACGUUACAUGACUAUUCAGUUUUACAUCAUCUUACAAUUUAUCAUGUCCACUUUCUAACUAUUACAUUACAAGACUUUACUCUUCUUGACUUCUCUGUCUAGUCCGUACCUGCAAUCCUGGGGGAUUAGGGAAAAGGGGUGAGCUACUAGAGCCCAGUGAGCAGAAUGAUAGAAAACAACAUUUAAAUCUCAUGCCAUCAUGUAAUGCAACACAUCACAACAAAUCACAUCUUGGAUGGUAUUGUCACCAAUAGUCCUCUACAUUCCAAAGUGCCGGGACGUNNNNNNNNNNNNNNNNNNNNNNNNNNNNNNNNNNNNNNNNNNNNNNNNNNNNNNNNNNNNNNNNNNNNNNNNNNNNNNNNNNNNNNNNNNNNNNNNNNNNNNNNNNNNNNNNNNNNNNNNNNNNNNNNNNNNNNNNNNNNNNCACAUUUGCCUCCAAACUUCCAAUCAUGCAUUUAGCUCAACCAAAACAUGCAAAUAUACAUACAUUGGCUCCUAGGGGCUUCAAACUAACUUAAACCCCAACUACAACACACAAAUCCAACAUACAUUGCUCAAAACAUAACAUUAACUCAAAAACCUAACUAUGAGCUAAACAUGCAUUCUACCCCAUAAAUCUUGCAUAAAACUUACUUUAAACAUGAAAUGAGCUUAAGAUCGGCUCUUACCUCUUGAAGAUCGAGAGAGAGACGUCCUAAACUCGGAGGUGGGAGAUUUUUGAGUUCUUGAACCUCCAAGCUCCAAAACUCGCUUUAAACUCGAAAAUCUUCAAAACAAAGUUAAAACAAAUGAAAAACUUGAAAGAUCUAGAGGAAAAACAUCAAAGAUCGGUGAGGAACGGCGGAGAACUCACCUUGGCCGAAAAUGGGGGAAAAAGCUCGCCCGUUUUCGGCUAAGGGACCCUUUUAUAGUGGCUGGCCAUGCCACGUUCGGGGGCCGAAAGUGCCUCCGCAUGCAUGCCAUGUUCGGCGGCCGAACUUGAGGUUCGGCGGCCGAACCUGGACUUCCCUCACUUAUGCCUUCGGGGGCCUAAGGCACACCCGAAACGCAUGCAUGUUCGGCGGCCGAACUUCGAGUUUCGGCGGCCGAACCUGAGUUUUCCCCUAAAGGUUGUUUUCAUGCAAAAACUCAUUUCCUUUCAACUUAAAACAUCAAAAACAUUAAAACCUUUCAUGAAAACAUGGUUUUACCCCUUCUAGAGGUCUCCGACAUCCGAGAUUCCACCGGACGGUAGGAAUUCCGAUACCGGAGUCUAGCCGGGUAUUACAGUGUGUCUCUCAGUGUAUUGAUGGUUUGAUGACAUAUUAGUAAAAGUAUCUAUUUUGUUUUCAUAGAUUGACAUUAUUUAGGUCAAGGAAUUAAUGUAAAAGAUUGUUGUGGAUAUUUAGACUGUUAUCAUAUAUUAUAGUGUAUAAAAUGGGUUUUAGGUUUUAGAAAGUCAUGCAGUGAUAAAUUUUGGAUCCUGAAAGGAGCUGGAAUGAUAAGUGAAGCAAAUUAAGAAUCUUUUGGUAUUAGCUAUGAAAGAGGCAGAGGUCAUUUCAUUUGGAUCCACCUUUUCUCUCACUUUCCAUUGUCUUUAUGGACAUGGUAUGAUAAGAUUGUUAUUAUUCUUGAACAAAUAAUCAAUAAAUCCAUUCUCUCCUAAAUCUGGAGAGAUAUGAAAAGACCUUUGUGAGGUGAUGUAGGUUGCAUUUCUGAAGAGAGAUUGCCAUAUUUAAACCAUUGUGAAUUGUGGUAGCUUAAGAGGGGAGAUUAAUUUCAGGAUUUUUAUUUUUCUUUUCUUGUAAACCUGUUUAGUUUAAUUCGGGGACUUGUAUUCUCAAGUCCUUAUUUGCUGUGAUGAUUUCUAGGAAUUGUGUGGUGGCUAUAUUAAUAUUUGAAGUUAGGAAGUGGUUGAGGAUCACAUUUCCUAGGUGAAUUGUGUUUAGCAUCAAAGUGAAGUUUUCAGUAAUAUAGAAGCCUAGUUAUUUAUGUUUUGGAGGUGAUCUAAUGGUUUUAGGACAAAAAGAAUGUGGAGACUAAGGGAAAUUGUUGAAGGUGGUAAAGUUGGAUGGUAUUCAUUGCCCCCAAAAUUGUUUGAGGUCUCCUUUAUAGUGGAGGAUGCUUCUAGGAUUGGUGUGGGAGUAAGAUAGUUUGAAACUAGUCAAUAUUUUAGGUUAGGUAUUGGUGCUAGAGAAUGGGACGGCUUAAAGCCUCCAGAACUCGUGCAAGCCUAGAACUGUAUGCUUGACCUCAUAAGGCCCACAAAACAAUGUUUUUAAUUCUAAGAAAGUGCAAAGGAGUGUUUUUUCCCCUUCAAGAUAACUGGUUUUGAUAGAAAAAAAACCUCUAUAUUCGAGUUCUAUUUGUAUAAACUUUUGAUAUCUUUAUGACAUUAUUUCUUUUACUUUCUUUAUCAUACUUGGUCAUUUACUUGUAGUGAGCAUCUUGGUUCUUCCUAUCGCUGCACAUUUCUACAAGAGAACUUUAUGUCACUCUAUAAAGAUAUCCCAUUCCCUAAGACUGAUAGUGAUCCCAUUGUCAGGUUGUUACAAAGUGGUAUUAGAGCCUCUUUUUGGAGUUGGGGAGAGGGUGUUGCCGGUUCUCUUUUAUCUUUAAGAGUUGAUUGGCUGUAUGUUUGAUGUGAUGAAGGCUAGGAGUUUCACAAGUCAGGUCAAAUAAAAUUAGUCUUAUUGUUAUAUUUGACACCUUUUUCUUGGAGAAACCAGAUUUGAAGAAUUGUAGCCUGCUCAUUUCAGUGGGAAUAUUAUAAAACUGUGGUGUAGGCUACAGGUACUAUGUAUGUAGAAUGCUUUCAUUAUAGAGGUGCUUUGACCUGUAAAAAUUUAAAGAUAUUUACGUAUAAAAUAAUGGCGAAGUUGCUGUCAUGUAUAUUGAUGGCUGUAAUUCAAGAUGUCCUUUGACAAACAUGGGAAGUUUUUCUUUUGGAGGGGAUGAGUAUGAUUAUAUGUUGUCAUUGUGGCUGAUAUAUAGGCCUGAUUUAAUUAUUUAAAUGUUCAUCUUUAGUAUGUUAAUCUUAUAUUAAAAACAAUCUAAAUCGAAUAAGAAAAGUAACUUGACGAACAUGAAAGGCUUUCUUUUGUGGAAUUUUUUAUGAUUUAAAUAUUUUCCUUGUGGCUAAUGUGUCAGUAUGAUCUACAUAUGGUUUAAGAAUGUUACUCCUAUAACAUUUCACAUAUGGUAUGUUAAUCUGAUAUUAGAUACAACCUAAAUUGAGUAAAGAAUAGGUAAUAGAGAACAGGAAUAAAAAAAGAUGUAUUUUCCGUUGAAAGUUGAAUGUGACCUGAAACCAAACAAAUUUUACACGUAGUAAUUGUCAAAUGCCCUUGAAUGUGCUAGCUCCAUUGUCCUUCAAGCUUAGCAUUCUCACCUGCAUGUCUAAGGUUUAUGUGAUGGAGCGGGGUUCUCAAUGACAGAAAGAAAUAUUAUUUAGGGAGGAACCAAAGAAAGAAAGGAGAGAAGGAAUAGAAGAAGAGGGAAAGGAAGAAUUAUGCAUGUGUUAUUAGUUUUAGGAAUCCCUCAAGUACAAGUAUUUCCCUCUAUUUAUACUAAUAUCAAUGUGUAACAAGAUAACUACCAGUUUUAACAGAGUAACUGCCCUUUUUUUCCCUCCAAUUUCCUUUUCUCAAAUUCACUCAACUUCUCAGUCACACCACCCUCUCAAAUGAGCUCAUUGCAUCUCUUAUUCAUAAUGUUCAUUCCCUACCUUGUCAAAAUCAUUCUGUGGCCAAAAUUGAAUAAGAGGAGCUAAUAAUGAAAUGCUUGCUAAAUCUGUAUCCAUCUGCAUCAAGUCUUUGAAAAGAAAAAUGAGAAUGCAGGCAUUAUUCUCAUCAUUCUUGGCAUUUCCACCAUAUCAUUAAUGCAAAAUUCCUCCAUUGAUAAAUUGUAUUUUCUUCUUUUGUCUCCUCCAAAUUUCAAAGUCAUUCUCUUUGGUAUUAUAUGCCUACAUGAUCUCAGCUCAACUACAGUAUCUCCUAAACUCCAAAACCCUUUUCUAUCUCUAUCUUCUUCAUAAACAUUCAAUCUUCUCCUGCAGUAUUAGUUCCACUAACAUAGAAAAACCUAAUAUAUUUUCCUGGAGAAAACACCCUCCUUCAGAUCUUUUUCUCUUGAGAUGAGUUGGUUGUCCAGUAUAUUGGUCAAGUCAAGAUCACUUUCAGCCAAUGUCAAUUUUACUAAAACUGUAUCUUCUUCAUCAUCAUCAACUUUGGAUGUUUGCCCAUAAGAAUUGCAAGACCGUGGUCAUACUAACCAGGUUUUUGCUUGAAUUUAGUUCUUUAAAUGUUUCAAAGCUCCAAUUAUUGAGAACUUAUAUUUAUGAGGGAAGUUUAAGAAUAAGAAUCCUUACCAUAGCCAAAAUCCUUAUUAUUCUCAUCAUUUGCACCAUUACUUCAUUUGCAAAGAUUUACUAAUUAGAAUGUUCAAGAGUUUAAAAUUUUGGUUCUUCUGAAUCAACUUCUCAUCUCCAUUCCCAUAAAUCUUGUCAUUAAAGGAGACAGUUUCCUCUCUUAGCCACACUUUCCUAGGUCUUCCUCAAUUCACUGCCAUUACCCCAAGAAAUCUCAAUUCAGUGGUUGUUGGUUUCAGUUUCUUGAAUUGGCUUCUCAAAGUUUUCCCAUUUCUGAUUCCAUUUUUCCAAACACUCUUCUUGCCAUUUAAUGGAUCCUUCUUUACUUUCAACAUAGAAGGAUCUUGUUGUUGCCAAUGUUGUGAGUUCCAUGGUCGGAAGGUGUCUGCGCAAGUAACAGAAGCAAAAGAUUUAUUUCUGUUAUAGGAAAUAAAUCUGUACAUUUAUUUCCUAUAACAAUAUCUAAGAAAAUUGAGUAGAAGGGUUGAAGGAGGAAUAAAAAAGGUCAGAAUCAGAUCUAAAACUGACCUAAAGCAGACCUCAAACAGAUAGUACCCAAAUUAAAACAGAGGCCUAAAACAGAAAAAUGGAAAUGGGAUCCCUCCUAGCUUGACCUUUGAUAUUUUUGGGGUUUUCAAGAAUGAAAGUAGAAAUUCAAGGAAGAAACUGUAAUUUCGCGGUUCUUAGAAAGGAGAGAAAUUAAGGAAAAGAGGAAGAAGAUAUUGCAGAGAAUUAGAAAAGGAAGAAAUAAAUACACAGAUUUUUGGAUUUUAAGAAAGACAAAAAAGAAAAAAACAUCUGCAACCUAAUUUGAAGCUAGGCCCUCCCAGAACCUUGCUUUGAUAGCACUUGGUAUGGAGAAGGAUGCUCAAUCAUAGAAAAGAACAGAAAUUAGGAAGGAAACGGAGAAAAAUAAAGAAAGAAAGAAGGAAUAAUAGAAGACAGAAAGUAAGAAUUCUGCAUUUGUUAUUAUUGGAAUCAUUCAGUUACAAGUAUUUCCCUCUGUUUAUUCUAGUAUUUCAUGAUGAGAUAACAACACUGUCACUAGAAUAACCCCUCUUUUUUAUCCAGUCUUCUAUUCUCAAAUCCACUCAACCACUCAGUCACACUGACUCACACCACCCUCUCAAGUCAUCUCAUGCCAUCUCCUAAUUUAUAGUAGUUUUCUAAUUUUGAAAUAGUUUAGCUCGUAUACACUCUUUAGCUAGAAGUAGAAAAUAAUUUUAUUAUCUUAAUCAACACAAAUAAUGAUUUUGUGAGUUCUUUUUCGUCUGUUAUCUUGGUUGCAGUCAGAUAAGGCACCAAUGUCUGUUUUGCAUGUUCAGUAUCCUGAAUGGCCUGAUCAUGGAGUUCCCAAGGACACAGUUGCUGUUCGUGAAAUCUUAAAAAGGGUAUACCAAGUACCAACCAAUCUUGGCCCAGUAGUCGUCCACUGCAGGUUCACCUGAUUUCUCUUGCUUUUUGUGAUGCCAAAUGAAAUUAGUAACACACAUACAUCUGAAACGACGUCUCUUGUUCAGUGCUGGUAUUGGUAGGACUGGAACGUACUGCACUAUUCACAAUACAAUCCAGAGAAUCCUUGUUGGAGACAUGUCUGCUUUAGAUCUUGCUAAUACCAUUACCAUUUUUAGGUCUCAGAGAGUUGGGUUGGUUCAAACAAUGGUAUUCUUUUUCCUAAUCUUUUCUUAAGCUUUGAUUUUCUUAAUUCAUUUACAUGGGUUCUAAAAAUGUUUGACUACCAAUUUCAGUUUGUUGACCUAUUGACGUGCUGUCCCUAAUACCAUGAGAAGCAUAAAUGCAUACUGAAAGUAUAGUUUUAUUGCUGAAGACAUCAUUGACAAAUAUUUGGAGAAUUACCUGGUAAUCAAGUCAAAAGCAAUGGUGUGUUACUCCUGAACCAAGCCCUGGAAAAAUAAAUGAUUUUCUGCGGGUUCACUGAGAAAAACUUAAUAUCAAAGUUGCUAAAAUUCAUUUUUGUUUGAAUUUCUUAUUACUGUUUCUCUGUAUCUAUCUCUUCAUGUGUUCCUUCCCCCUUUGCCCCUCCUAGACAGUUCCUUUCUUUCAAUUCUCUAUUCGAUUUACAUCCCAUGAUGGGGGGCAUUAUUUCAUUUUUUUGGUUACUUAAUAGAGAAAAGGGCUCCAAAUUUUUCAUUUGUUUAUUUUGAACCACCAGUUUCCCUUAUUGUUUAUUUACCCCUCCCUAAGUUCUAUUUUUUAUCUGGUUAAGUUCUCCAUCUACAGGAGCAAUAUUUUUUCUGCUACAAAGCUAUCGUUGAUGAACUAGAAGACCUAAUCUCAGAGUGCAAUGAUUGAAGGGCCUCAAAAAUUGUAUGUUUCUAUAGAUUUACAUUUCUUAUAUGCAAGACAUUUAUUUAUGGCUUUGCUUUGUUUGCUUGGUGUUCCUUGUUUCUUGUACGGUAUUACAUGAAAUCAGCGUUGAUACAGCUGAUAAUUCUCAUCUCUUUUAUGGCAGCAGCUGGAUCAAUGAGUGGCGUGUGGUGUUGAAAAAUGCUGGAUUAAAUAUGACAGCUGCUUGCUCAUCUCUUAGAAUCAGGACUGCCAAAUGCAAAUUAAGGAUGCUUAAAUGUGUAGCAGUGUUUGUUGCAGCUCCUACAGCAGCUAGAGGCUUUGGUUAAAUGAGCAAUAUGUCCUGUUGAUAGGGUACUGAAAUCAUAAUUAAAUGAAUUAGAAUUGUAGUCGCUGCAGGAUUAUUUCCUCAUUUUUCCCAGUUUGGAUGCUAAAUGAAGCAACCUAGGGCUUGUAAGGCUACUGCUCCAGGUUGAUUUUUCCCUUCAAUUGUCAAACUGUUGACUUGUCAUGUUCCAAUUUGUAUUAAUUGUGAGCUGGUUCAUGUUGGAAACAGCAAGUCUCAAUUAGAUUGCUUGAGAUUGGUCUAUUUUAUAUUUUUGGUAGUCCUAUGAUCUUAAGCAUCUGCUUUUUGGGAUUCACGAGCACGGCCUAACCUUUUCUUUUUGGUGGACAAAUUUUUUUUUUUAAGGUUUAUGAUAAUUCAUGGUGAAGUUAAAUAUUCGUCAUUUGCCUUAAUCAAGAAGAUUAAUUUAAUUUAGAAAAAUUAAUAGUAAAUUAUAAUAUGGUUUUUAAAAUUUUAUUUGAUUAAUAAAAUAGUUUUUAAAUUAUAUUUUUAUUAUAAUAAUAUUAUUUUUUGCUAAUUUUAUUAUUUACUCUUUAUUUUUAUUUUUAUAUAAUAAUAUAGAUUAUUAAUAAAAUCAUAAAAUAUGAAAAAAAAUAAAAUUUAUAAUUUAAAAUGUAUAAUAUUUAUUUUUUUAGAAUAUUAUUAAUAGAAAGUAAAAUUUUUUAAAUAUAAAAAAAUAUACAUAUGAUUUAUAAUAUUGAGUAUAAGCAUUUAAAUAUAUAUUAUUUAUAUAAUAUAAAAUCUUAAAGACUACUCUAAUUUGUUAUUAAAUUUUACAAAUUUAAUUUAGUCUUUUAAAAACUAUAUUAUAAUUUAUUAUUAAAAUUUUCAAAUUCAAUUUAAUUUUUUUUCAUUAUAAUUAUGAUAAUUUAAAAAUAUUUAAUUUUAUCAUUCAAUAUUUAAAAUAUUAUAUAUAAAUAUAAAUUAUUAUAAAUGUUUAAUUUUUUUAAUUUAACAUAUUUUUCUUUUUAAAUAUUUACACAUGUUAUAAUAUGUGUGUAUAUAUAUAUAUAUGUUAAAGGAAAAAUUAUUUAAGUAAAUUUACUUAAUUUAUAUGAUAUAACGUUCUCAAUUUUAAAAAUAUGUUAAAGUGUUAAUAAAAUUUUAUAAAAUUUAUAAAAAAAUUUAUAAAUUUUAUAAAAAAUUUUAUAAAUUUUAUAAAUUAAUUUAUCUAUUAAUUUUAAUUAUUAAAUGUUACAAAAUUUUUUUAAAAUAUCUCAAUAUAAAUAUAAAAAAAUCAAUUAAUAAAUUUUUUUUAUAAAAUUAGAAGAUCAAUUAAUAUUAAUUUUUUUAUACUAUAAAAAUUAAAUAUUUAAAAUUUUAUAAAUAUUUUAAUAUAUUUUUUAAAAUUAAAAAACUAAUCAAUGAGUUAUAUUAUAAUAAGAACAAAAUAAUAAAUUUCUCACAUUUUGACUAAUUUGAUGAGAAACAAAAAUAUAAAUGACUAGAUAAAUUUAUUUUAAAAAUUUAUAAACUAAGGCAAAUACCUAAUUGAUUUAAAUUUUCAUUGGGCUAAUCUCCUGCUAAACAACUUUGAGAUGUGUAAUGAAUGGAUUAGAAAUUGUAGAUUUCUCAAUAUAAUAAUUUUCUCUUAUCUCAUCUGCAAUUAUUGUCGUAGAGUCAAUACUUUUUUUUGGUUAUCCAAUAUUGACUUGAAAUUUAAAUAAGAACAUCUCCAUUACAAGUUGAACUCUAGUUAAUAUGCUCUUCUUGGAUUUCUUCACAUAUUCAUCGAAUCAAGGAAAAUGAUAAAAAUAAAAUUUAACGCUACAUUUACAAAGAUAUUUAAUUUAGUAAUAAGUGUAUUUCGAUAAAUCUAAAAGAUAUAUCUGACUGUAUUUCAUCGAUUUUUAAUUUUAAUUUAAAAAAAGUUAUAUUUUUUAUGAAAAUUAAUUUAUAUUUAAAAAAUAUUUUUUAUUAAAAAUAUUUUUCUCAUAAAAUAAUUUAUUUUUUAUUAUUUAAUUUUAAUUUAAAAAUAAAAUAUAUUAACAAAUUUAUCCAUAAAAUUAAUAAAAUUCUCAAAAUAUGAAAAUUAUUAUUUUUUAAUUAAAGAAAGAGAACUAAAUUUUCUUUAAGUUAGCUUAUUUUUUUAUUAAAAAAUAUUUUAUAUUAAUUAAAUUUUACACUUACUCUAUUUUUUAAAUAUUUUCCAAAUACAAAAGUUAAAAUUAUAAACUUGCUAUAAUUUUUUAAUCUAUCUAUUUUCUUUUCUUUUCUUUUUUAAAUCAUUAGAAAGAUAAAUUUAUUUUUACUCCUAUUUCUUUUUAUCCAAAUAAGAGAAAAAAACAAUAAAGUAAGAAUAUUUCCUUUUUUUCCAUGCUUUUUUUUCACUUAAAAAAAAAGAUUUCCGAAUAGAUAUAAAAAAUAAUGUUAAAAAAGGCUUUUACUUUAAAAAAGAGAAAAAGAGAGUGCAUAGUACGUGUAAUCCACGCGCCAACGAUGAGAGUGGACAAUGUGGAAACAGCAAAACCAGUAAACCAUGGUUAAGUAGUAGAGAAGUGUGAAGUGUAUUAGGUUUGGGGUUUUGACUACAAUCUCUCUCUCGCUCUCUCUCUCUGCUUGCAAUGUGUGUGAUUUGGUUUUGACAGUGCCAGAGGGGCUGACACCAAUCUUACACUCUUUCUCUCUGCGCCUUCUCAGCUUCUCUUCUUCCCUCUCGCUUCUCUGUCAUUUUCCCUUCUCUAUCUCUCUCUAAAGUUUCAAUUUUUGUUUAUGCAUUUUCUGAUCUCUCUUUCUCUCUCUCUCUUUCUAGUUGUGUCUCUAUCUGGGUCUGCUUCUGUCUUUAUUAGAAACAAACACGAACGGGAAUCUCUGCUAUCUUUUCUCAGAUUUCUAUCACGACCUGGUAAGCUUUAUCUAUCUAUUUUGUACUGUUUUGUUUUUAAGUAUAUCCUAAUUUGCUAUAGUAGUCUUGAUUUAUCCUUGCACUUGGCUGUGGUUUGUGGGUUUUUCUUGUUUUUAUCGGCUGCUUAUCUAAAUUGCGUUUGAUGUGGAUUUUUAUUCUUAAUUUCUGCUUUUUCUGCUCAUAUUUUGAACUGGGUAUUCUUUGUCUUUUCCUAAUUUUGAUACUUACUUUAUUUUGCUUUUCUUUCUCUCUUUGGUAUAUUAGUGGCUAUUUAUGUGCUGGCUGUUUCAUUGAUUUGCAGUGCUGGUGACUCGGUGUUAAUGGAUUGGAGUUCCAAUGGUGAUCAAAAUUGGUACUGUGGUAAUUUUGAUGCGGCAAGAGACUGCAUUUUUGGAUUCGAAGUGAUAUAGAUAAAUUCUGCGGUAUAUUCCAAAGGGUGUUCAAGGAUUUUUGUAAUCCUUGUAAAUAAACUAGCUUCUUGGUUUUUGCAUGGAAACUUGGGGCAAAAGUUGAAGUCUAAUCUUCACAGUGAUCAUCGCAAUGGGCGGGCUUUGCUCGAGGAGUUCGACUGUAGAUAAUGCUCCCAGUGGAGGCUUUCCGCAUGUGAAUGGACAUUUUAAUGCCUCAGGCUUGGUUUAUCAGUCUCGUGAAUUGAAAAUAAGUAGCAAUACGACUACAUCUCCAGUAGGGGAGAAUGUGGAAAAUAAGCAAGUAAGAGAACCCUUUUCAUUUCCAGAGGUAAAUGCAGUUCCUUCGUAUGGGAUGAGUGCGGAUGAUAUUGAUGAUGGCAUUCCUCGUUUGUCAAGGGCUCUAUCAAAUAAAUCUAGAUCAACCAAGUCUAAGCAGGCAGCUGUUGCAAAGGUAUGUGUACAUGUUAUUUGAAUAAUACUUGUGAUUCAAGUUAUAUUUUACUUGCUUCAUUGUCUUUUGGCUUUUAGCUUUGCCUUGUUACAUUUUAAGCAAGAAUCUGUUGUUCUAUUAUGCAAGAUGUACUAUUAGAGGGUUUUUUGAUAUACAUCCUUUUAGUUUUGUAUAGUCUCCUAUUACGUUGUUGCUGCUGAAACAUUCUGACUCAAGUUCCUAACUGAAUCCAUUAGAAUGGAAGAUGUUAAAAGGUGAAAUCACUUAAAUUUUUAUAAUGCUAAAACCAUGGGACUGUUCUCAAUCACUACUAACUUAAUGUCUAAAAUUUUAACAUCUGACAGUAAAAGUAGAAAAUUCGAUCUCUUUCUAUCUCUCUUUCCUUAAAAUUUUCUUGUUAUUUGUUUCUCCCCCUUUUGUUUUUCUGAACAUGGUUUUGCAAUUUAAAAAUUGCAGUAAAUUGGAUCAGUAUCCUGAAUUUUUGUUUUAAGAAAGUUACAUGUGAUUCUUGGCCAUGGAGAAUAAAAACUGAAGUGCAGAGAUGAGCAUGUGUCUUUUUNNNNNNNNNNNNNNNNNNNNNNNNNNNNNNNNAAAAACUUGACUGCAAUCUCAUCAUUCUGUUGUUGCUGAUAUGCUUGUUGUUGGUAACUUCAUGCUUAUGUAUAAACCACUUCUCCAAUGACAAUUAUUUAGUUGAAAGGAAGAGCAUGUAUUGUGGUUGUCUUUGUGGGGAACUAGGGUUUAUAAAUUGGAAACUUCAGCUGCAAACCAGUCAAUUCUUUGUCAGUCACCGAGCAUCUACCUAAGAAUAAUUUGUCACACCAUUUAUAUCUUCUGUGCUUUUCUCUGAACAAUUUACACAUUUUAAGUCAGGGAAUUGUAAAUCACAGUAGAGAAUGUAAAUUCGCAAAGUUGAGUUGGGUCCUUUUUGCAAUAGUUUAAACUAGAACUAAAUACUUAAUAUUCCACUUUCAAACUCUAGAAAAUAAUUAAAAUGCAUUGGUUCUUACAGAUACAGUAUACUUUUCCUUUCCUCAAUAUUUCUUGUGAUUGUAAGUAGGAAAAUUCCAAACAUAGUUUGAACUUGAGCAAUGAACACCGAAGCCUCUUAGAAGACAUAAAAUUGUCUUAAAUUACCAAAAACACCUCUUAAAAUUGAAGGAAUCACAAAAUAUACAGUUCUACCACUAUUCAAAUUGCACUCAUAAUUUGUUUGGAAUCCCCAAAUUGAAAUUUCUUUGAACUUAAGGCCCUAUUUAGCUCUGGGUUAAAGGAAAGGUAAAUAAUUAUUUAGUUCUUAAACUCCAACGUCUUUUGUUGCUCUUUUUUUUUUUUAACAAAGUUUUAAUCCAUCACUCUGAGUAUCAAAACAAUCAGUAAUUUUAUGUCGUCAUUAAAAUCCCAUCUAAAUAUUCCAAAAACAUAAACUCUACGUUCAAGUUUUGUGGAGUCAAAACUUAAAUGGCACUUAAGGUUCAACUUAAAGUCUUAAACCAAAUUUUCCACCUCAAAACCCUAGCUUGGUGCGGCACCAGUGCUUGUGCUUUGCAUUGUACCUGAUUGUCUAUCUGCUCUCAUGUGGAUCUUAUGAGGGAUGGCUUGUUUCCGGAAGAUAGGAAUUCCGAUGCCGGGGUCUAGCCGGGUAUUAUAGUGUCAGAUCCGGGCAAGGUUCUUAAUGAGCCUGAUGUGGAGAUCCUAGGAGAUCUCACUUAUGUUAAGCAGCCAGUGCGGAUCAUAGACACGCAGAUCAGGAAGCUGAGAAACAAGAAACAAGAAACAAGGAAAUCCCGAUGGUGAAAGUCCUUUGGGAUCACCAUAAUAUGGAAGAGUGCACCUGGGAGACACGGGAGUCCAUGCUCUAGCAAUACCCUUAUCUAUCAAGCUACUAAAUUUUGCCUAUAAAACUGUAGUCUUGAAAUGUUCCUGUUGUUUUCUUUUUCUAAUUUACUAUGUUGUUUGGUUUAUGUUUGUACAAUAUGGUAAUGUGAACAAAUAGGGGGUUUGAACAAGAAUAAUAAGGGAUUAAAUAGGUAGUGGUAUUUUGGGGAUGAAUGAAUAUGUUUUGUGAAGAAAGGUUAGUUUUGGAAGAAAAAUUAGUUGUCUCUCAUUUGACCUUAUCCAUUGUCAUUGACUAAUGGAAAUUUAGAGUUAAUUUUGUAUCGACGGCUUGGGAGAUUAACAGAAUUAAACAUGAUGUAUUUACUAAUUGAGUUUUGAAAAUAAAGGGACCAAUUAAUUAUAUUGGCAAACCUAGAGACUAAUAAUUAUUUACCCUUAAGGGAAUAUACUAAUAGCAUUGGAAAAUAUAGAAUUGAUUUUAUGUGAUCUUUGUGAUUUUACUUUGGUUUGAGGAAGUAUCAAGCAUGAAUACAAGGUUGGUGGCAUCAACUAAAGCAUUGGAUCAUCUUUUGCCUUUAUUUUGUUUCUUUAAUAGUAAUCCUGCUGGAGUUUUCUUUCUUUAUUAACUUUUAGCAAGUUGAACUGACCAUUAGAUAUCCUAUUAUUCCUCUUUAAUCAAAUACUCAAAAUUGCAUGAAGCUAACCACAUUUCUGUAACCUUGAGCCCUCCUUUUUAUUUGUCUUGAAAGUCCUCAAAAUUCAUAAGCAACAAAUAUGAAAAAGUGGUCAAGAAAACUCGGUGCUUCUCAAAAGUCCAAACUUUGAAAAACUAGUUCAACAAGCUAGUUUCUUUGGCUGGAAGGAUUUGAGACAAACAUCAGGAGAGUAUAUGAAAGGUUUUUGAUGAAUUGUAGAAGGUUUCUUCUUGGUAUAUAUUCUUUAUAAUGGAUAAUGAAGUCAAGAAGUGGGUAGGGAUAUAGUACAUUCCUCACCUUGAGUUGGUUGUCUAGCACACUUCUAUUAAGUUGGAAAUGUCAUUGCAAACAACCACUUAGAAACGGUCAAAGUUGUGGCUUUGCUUAAUCCUGCUGGAGUUUUCUUUCUUUAUUAACUUUUAGCAAGUUGAACUUGACCAUUAGAUAUCCUAUUAUUCCUCUUUAAUCAAAUAUUCAAAAUUGUAUGAAGCUAACCACAUUUCUGUAACCUUGAACCCUCCUUUUUUUUUCUUGAAAGUCCUCAAAAUUCAUAAGCAACAAAUAUGAAAAAGUGGUCAAGAAAACUUGGUGCUUCUCAAAAGUUCAAACUUUGAAAAACUAGUUCAACAAGCUAGUUUCUUUGGCUGGAAGGAUUUGAAACAAACAGCGGGAGAGUAUAUGAAAGGUUUUUGAUAAAUUGUAGAAGGUUACUUCUUGGUAUAUAUUCUUUAUAAUGGAUAAUGAAGUCAAGAAGUGGGUAGGGAUAUAGUACAUUCCUCACCUUGAGUUGGUUGUCUAGCACACUUCUAUUAAGUUGGAAAUGUCAUUGCAAGCAACCACUUAGAAAAGGUUGACGUUGUGGCUUUGCUUUUCUCUGCAUGAUGAUAAAGGCUGUUGUGUUUUUGGUGGUUGUUUAUUAUUGGUUGUUGUGUGAUAACCUUAAUAACUUCUAAAUGGGCUAAAGUUACAAGGCCUACUCUCAAUUAUAGGGUUUUUUUUUUUCAUUUUUAAUCUUAUUUUGUUUUAAAAAAUAAAUCUAAUUAUUUUUUUUAGUGUCAUUAAACUAUUUUGUAUAGAAAGAUAUGCUUAUUGUUUUUGUUGAUUUUGUUUAUGUUAUUUACAUAAUUUAUCCGUCGUGUCUAAAAUUUUAUUCAUAUUCCCAUAUUUUCCAUUUAGGAGCUUACAAGUCUAACACAUGGAUACCCAUCCAUUUUUUUUGCUCAAAACCGAGUGCAAGUAACAUAGCUUAAUACAUAAAAGUCCAUAUUUAUAGUGUAGGAUACAAGAUGUAUAUGGCAUACUAUCAAUAGAACGCGAAUCACUCCUUUAUACAAGCAUCAAUCAACUCAUGGAUUUUUUCUAAUCAAUCACAUGAUUUUCAUAAUCAUGUGAUACUUUCGUAUCCAUCAUGUGAUACUUUCGUAUCCCCUGUCAAGUUGUGCAUGGAGUUUAGUUUUCUUAUUGUCUUGAGUUUCAACCAAUUAGUUUUUUUCAUUUGAUAAUGUAGUUAAAAUGAUUAGCUCAUUGACCAAAGAAUAUUGUUGGCACUUGGCCAAAAAACUAAGCCUAAGGCAAUAGAAGCAGACAUGAGGGAUGCAAGAGUUGCUAGGGUUAACACUUAGCACAAAAGACUCGGAAUAUGACCAUGAUGGCUUAAGCUUUGUCUUGCCAAUUUCUAAGUGUGCAUGAAUCUUGUUGUUGAUUUCUCGUUAGAUAUAGCUCUUAGGCAUUAACUUGGCAUAUAUUUAAGUUUUGUGGCAAGAGGAACCCAUUUUUGCACCUUCUGAUCUCAAAGUCUAGAGGUCAUUGUGAAGCAAUCAACAAGGCAUUUAUUAGCCUUGGCCAUUUUAACAGAGGGCAAAGAGAUAUUGGCGGAUUUCACUAUACUUCUUGACAUAUUAAAACCUUGGUCCAAGUUUUGAGAGAUCUCACAUUCAUGUAAAGCCCUGUAAGACAACUUCAACAUUGACUAGGUGAUGACUCCUAUUGGCUGAUUUUUGUCUAUUGGUAAUCCCUUUUCCAAUUUUCGUGUUAAGCGUUUGAAGCUCAAAGCAAUCGAAAAUAAACUCGAUGAGACAUUAGGUCUUGGACUUUGCUAAAAUGCCUUGGGCAGCUAUAGCGAGCUUGUGAUAACUUCUCCAUAUUUCAACAUUGGGGAAACAUUCUUGGUCGAUUUUAGGUUUUGGUACUUCAACACUUAAGCUGUCGAGGCACAACAUAAAAUCUCAGAGCAAAUAAAGUCUAAUGCAACAAGUUACGAAACUUUGAAGACAUAAAAAGCUUUGAAUGGCUAAUUACUAGUAUGGAGAGUCCAAACUAGUCAAUUUUGACUUGGGAUCAUUGCUUAGAGUGAUAUGAGACUUGGCAUAAGUUUUCAUAGUGAUUGGGGGUUAACGUGAAAAGUUCCAAGCCAUAGAAGAAUGGAAGAGCCUUGAAACUAUGAUGUUAUGGAGCAAUAUUUCCUAUUGUAGGAAGGAGUAGAUUAGGGAGAAAUAGAGAAAGAAAAUGAUAGGAAUAGAAGAAGAAAAGAAAUAGAGAAAGAAACAUAACUUAGAUGAGAGAGAUUAGAGUGGGGAAAUAAUACAAUCUUAAUUUUUCUUGGAGUGAUCCUUUCUAGCAAAUAGACAGUUAAUUCAGUGAUAAGAGUAAUUAUUACCACAACUUAACCUACCUUCUCUAAUAGUCUAGCUCCAAUUGGAACUUUUAAACCCCUUUUCACUAGAGCCAAAAUAGUUUAGCCAAGUUAUUUCUAGUAGCUGGAUCAAGGUUGUAUAUACCUUUUCAAUUUUUCAUUUCCAAAUCCCAAUUGAUGUAGGAAUUUGUUCUAAGCGGUGGCCAAGAUGUUACAUUCUCUCACUUAAUUUUGCGACAUUCUUAUCUCAAUCUUUCUAUGCCAUAUCAAGUAUACUUGGUAACUCAGGAUUGAACCCUCGUGAAUUAUGGUUUGCAAGUGACUCGAGCGGCUUUACUUUGUCCUGUAAGUAGCUCCUUUCCUUGUAGAUCUACUAGCUCCACACAAUUUUCUAAUUCAAGAUGGCUUUGAUACAAAUUAUAACAGUCCAAUCAAAAUAACUUUGGAAUUAUUUUUUUACGUGGCUCAAAAUGAUUAACCAAAGUUAUCUCUAGUAGAUGGACCAAGGUUAUAUGUGCACUUUCAAUUUUCCAUUUCCAACCUAUGUAUAAAUUUGUCCCAAGCGGUGGACGUUACACCUUUGGUUUUCCCUAACUAAUUCUUAGUUAUAUCUUCUUAUUCUACUCUUUUCCCUAUACAAUUUCUUAUUCUCCUUUUAGUGAUAACGUAUUCUCGUAGGAUAAGGUAGGCCAGUGACGAUUCCAAUCCAGCUGAUUUUGACUUAGAAUAAUUCUUAUGAUGAUAUGAGGCUCAACAUAAAAUUUAGAGUAAUUGGAGAUUGGUGUGACAAGCUUAAAGCCCUAGAAUCAUCAAAGGUACUUGUAGAUGGCCAUGGAGUCUAAAUAAUAAAGCCAUGACCAUUUUUGCUAAGGUAAAACCUUUCAUGGCUGAUUGACGUCCCCAAAGUAGCCUUGGAAAUUGUCUUUCUUUCCAAUGAUGCAACAGUGCGUGAGACACGUAAAGCAAAAAAGAAAGUUGCAUCUUGAUGAAAGUUUAAGACUAAUAGAGUUCUAUAGGCUGCUACUUUGCUGAAAAAAUAGUAAUUAGGCCUUAAUCCCAAACUAGUUUUUACUGGCUAUAUGGGACAAUUUUUUGCUGUUCAAUUUUAUUUGAAACCAAUUCCUCACCAAUAUCUGAAAAUUUUAAAUAUUAUGAUACUGCUCCACGACAUUUUAGGUCUCUUUUUUCCUUCUAACUUCUUGCACAACUAACUUAUCACAAGUCUGUACUGGGGCAUUUGAUAUUUUAUGUUGGCUAUAACGAACCAUCUUAAUCGAUCUUCACUCAUUUUUUUCCCAAUGUGUGUUAGGUGCACACUGAUAGACGUGAUCAUUCCUAAUAUUAUCCAUUAUCGUGUUACUAGACAUCCAUCUUAACAUCCACAUUUCUACUGCACUCAUAUUAUGCAUAUAUUGUACCUUGUAUGCCCUAUGUUCACUCCCAUACAUCUAUUGUUCUAUAGAACUUACCUGCCAUUUUGUUAGGUAUAGCACACUUGUUGCACUUCUCCAUUUCAUCUAUCUUGUUUUGAUCCUAUUAGUUAUAUCCUUAUUUAUUUCACCAUUCUUCUGAAUAAUAGAACCUAAAUAUUUGAAUAGGUACGCAUUUUGGCACCAAAUUUCAUCUGAUCAAAUCUCUCUUUCUCCUUCUAUGGGAGUUGAGCUCAAAAUGCAUAUAUCCUUCUUAUUUCUAUGUAGCAAAAACCCUAACAAUCAAGUAUCCUUCUCUGUGACUUCAAUUUUGGAUUGGAGGAUGCUUCUUAGAGGUUUUGCUAGCUGCUUCAUUUCUAUCUAUUCCAAGCCGAAGUGAAUUGUUCCAUCAUCAUGAGACUGUUGGUGCUAUAGAUGGUCAACACAGACCAUUGUCAUGCCCACAACAUAUAGAUAUCCUUUACUCGAUUAAGUGCCAUUACCAUAGUCUAACUAUAGGCAUCAACAGGUAUGUAGUAACUUAAAACAUUAGUAUAAGCAAACAUGUUAAAUUCAGUGUUAUGAAAGGUAUGGUAGAAGGGGCACCAGGUGCCUGGGCCGUAGCCCUGCAUAACCCCAAGUGGGCGAUGUGGCCUAUGUGCACUAGGAGCGCCAGAUACCAGGUGUGGAUGAGGCACACUUGCGGCAUCUUGAUCUUAUAUAUAUAUAUAUAUAAAAUUGUCCUACCACCUUAUAACAGCAGCAACAGGACAGGGAAGAAAAAGAAGAAGAGGAGGAAGUAGGAGAAAAAACUUAUCUUCUCUAUUGCAUGUUGCUAGAAAAAUCACAGAUCAGGUUCUUUUUCCUCCUCUUCUUUUAUUGCCGGCAUGCUGCCCUUCUAUCUAAUAUUUUUAAUAUUAAAAGUUAAGCAAAUUAAUUAAUUUAUUUAAGACAUAUGCACUUAAACUUGUAAAUUUUUUUGAUUAGAUGAAAAUGAAAUUGAAGAAUUUUAGGAAAAAUUUUGAGUAUUCUUGUAUUUCACUCUUAAUCUUUACAAUUGGUCUACAUGACUAUUUAUACACAGAGAAUCAUAUCUAAACAGGAAGCAAAUAAUCAAAUAAUAAUUACAGAGAUAAUUAAGGAUCCUAAUUAGAUCAAAUCAAAUCUUUAGAAUCAGCUAGGAUUAGUAAAUAAGUCAACACUCCCCCUCAAGUUGGUGCAAAGAUGUCACACAUGCCCAACUUGCAAAUCAAAUUAUGGUAGAUCUUGUUGUUAAGUCCUUUAGUAAACACAUCCGCAAGUUGCCCCGUAGAAGUCACAUGAACUAGGCUCAAGAUACCGUCUAUUAAUUUUUCUUUAAUGAAGUGCCGAUCAAUUUCAAUGUGCUUGGUUCGGUCAUGUUGGACUGGAUUUUGUGCUAUACUUAUAGCAGCUUUAUUGUCACAAUACAAGGUUAUCUUGUCUCUCUCGAACAAUCUCAACUCUUCCAAUAACUUCUGCAACCAUAAGAGUUCACAUACUCCUUGGGCCNNNNNNNNNNNNNNNNNNNNNNNNNNNNNNNNNNNNNNNNNNNNNNNNNNNNNNNNNNNNNNNNNNNNNNNNNNNNNNNNNNNNNNNNNNNNNNNNNNNNNNNNNNNNNNNNNNNNNNNNNNNNNNNNNNNNNNNNNNNNNNNNNNNNNNNNNNNNNNNNNNNNNNNNNNNNNNNNNNNNNNNNNNNNNNNNNNNNNNNNNNNNNNNNNNNNNNNNNNNNNNNNNNNNNNNNNNNNNNNNNNNNNNNNNNNNNNNNNNNNNNNNNNNNNNNNNNNNNNNNNNNNNNNNNNNNNNNNNNNNNNNNNNNNNNNNNNNNNNNNNNNNNNNNNNNNNNNNNNNNNNNNNNNNNNNNNNNNNNNNNNNNNNNNNNNNNNNNNNNNNNNNNNNNNNNNNNNNNNNNNNNNNNNNNNNNNNNNNNNNNNNNNNNNNNNNNNNNNNNNNNNNNNNNNNNNNNNNNNNNNNNNNNNNNNNNNNNNNNNNNNNNNNNNNNNNNNNNNNNNNNNNNNNNNNNNNNNNNNNNNNNNNNNNNNNNNNNNNNNNNNNNNNNNNNNNNNNNNNNNNNNNNNNNNNNNNNNNNNNNNNNNNNNNNNNNNNNNNNNNNNNNNNNNNNNNNNNNNNNNNNNNNNNNNNNNNNNNNNNNNNNNNNNNNNNNNNNNNNNNNNNNNNNNNNNNNNNNNNNNNNNNNNNNNNNNNNNNNNNNNNNNNNNNNNNNNNNNNNNNNNNNNNNNNNNNNNNNNNNNNNNNNNNNNNNNNNNNNNNNNNNNNNNNNNNNNNNNNNNNNNNNNNNNNNNNNNNNNNNNNNNNNNNNNNNNNNNNNNNNNNNNNNNNNNNNNNNNNNNNNNNNNNNNNNNNNNNNNNNNNNNNNNNNNNNNNNNNNNNNNNNNNNNNNNNNNNNNNNNNNNNNNNNNNNNNNNNNNNNNNNNNNNNNNNNNNNNNNNNNNNNNNNNNNNNNNNNNNNNNNNNNNNNNNNNNNNNNNNNNNNNNNNNNNNNNNNNNNNNNNNNNNNNNNNNNNNNNNNNNNNNNNNNNNNNNNNNNNNNNNNNNNNNNNNNNNNNNNNNNNNNNNNNNNNNNNNNNNNNNNNNNNNNNNNNNNNNNNNNNNNNNNNNNNNNNNNNNNNNNNNNNNNNNNNNNNNNNNNNNNNNNNNNNNNNNNNNNNNNNNNNNNNNNNNNNNNNNNNNNNNNNNNNNNNNNNNNNNNNNNNNNNNNNNNNNNNNNNNNNNNNNNNNNNNNNNNNNNNNNNNNNNNNNNNNNNNNNNNNNNNNNNNNNNNNNNNNNNNNNNNNNNNNNNNNNNNNNNNNNNNNNNNNNNNNNNNNNNNNNNNNNNNNNNNNNNNNNNNNNNNNNNNNNNNNNNNNNNNNNNNNNNNNNNNNNNNNNNNNNNNNNNNNNNNNNNNNNNNNNNNNNNNNNNNNNNNNNNNNNNNNNNNNNNNNNNNNNNNNNNNNNNNNNNNNNNNNNNNNNNNNNNNNNNNNNNNNNNNNNNNNNNNNNNAAUUGAAUUUAGACCCAAAAAAUCAGAAAAAGGCUCUGAUACCAUGAAGAAUUUUAGGGAAAAUUUUGAGUAUUCUUGUAUUUCACUCUUAAUCUUUACAAUUGGUCUACAUGACUAUUUAUACACAGAGAAUCAUAUCUAAACAGGAAGCAAAUAAUCAAAUAAUAAUUACAGAGAUAAUUAAGAAUCCUAAUUAGAUCAAAUCAAAUCUUUAGAAUCAGCUAGGAUUAGUAAAUAAGUCAACAGAAAUUAAGUUCUUUCAUUUUUUUUUCUAAAGCUUGAUUAUUAAUAUCUUUUCUUUUUAUUUUGUAAAAUUAGCAUGAAAUAAGAGUAUGAUUGCCUUUUUAAUUACUUUCUUAGUAUUAUAUUAUUUAAUAAAGAUAAUCAAUAAAUGUAUGUGAUUUGUGACAAAAUUUUAUUAUGUUAAUAAAAUUUUUUAUGACCACGAAAGCAAAUAAAUUUAAAUAAUUAUCUUGUGCUAUUUGAAUUUUGAUAUUAUUCAUAUUUAUUAACUUUUUUAUUAUUAUUCUUUUAAUUUUGCACUUUAUUUCACCCAGGUGCACGCCUACGUCUUGUGUCUAGGGCUCUAGGCUAAGCCCUUAGCGCAAUAGUGCACAUUUUGCCUUUGAUAACUAUGGUUAGGUUACAGUAAAUUUUAUGCAAAUACAGUUGAUUGACUCGACUUUUGAAAUAUCCGGUCCUACGAUGACCUUGGUUGAACAAAUGGGCCCAUGAUUUAUGUUUCUAUGAAACUUGGCUAUGUGAUUGCCUUGGGUUUUUCACUUCUUUGGGGGCAUUAGAUGGCUGUAAUGCUUGGACUGAUGGUUGCAAUUGUAAUUCUUCAAAACUGUUAUUGAUGAUUUAUUACUUUCUAUAAAAUAGAAUGAGAGAAUGUUAUGUACUUGGUAGUUCUUGGGUCACAUAGUUGCAGUUUGAAACUGAGACCUCCAAGAUGAAGUUAUAUGUUUUAAACCACCAUUCUGUUUCUUCAGAGUCUUUGGGAGCAAAAUCUGCAUGUAUUUGCCAUGGUUGGUAUUCUGCAAUUUAUCAUGCAGCCUGGCAAUUGAUGUUCUGCAAAUAUGCUUGUUCUGCUAUUAUCUAAUUGAAUCACCGAGUUGUUUGAGUUGUUUUUGUUUACAGGUUUCAGAAGUGAGCUCACUUUUGGGCAGAGCUGGGACUGCUGGGCUUGGGAAGGCAGUGGAAGUGUUGGACACACUUGGGAGUAGCAUGACGAAUUUAAAUCUCAGCAGUGGUUUUACCUCGGGAGUGACAACAAAAGGGAAUAAAAUUUCAAUUUUGGCGUUUGAAGUUGCUAAUACAAUUGUUAAGGGUUUCAAUCUGAUGCAGUCCCUUUCAAAAGAAAAUAUUAAGCAUCUAAAAGAGGUUGUGCUUCCCUCGGAAGGGGUGCAAAAUUUAAUAUCAAGAGAUAUGGAAGAACUCUUGAGAAUUGCUGCUGCUGACAAGAGGUACGCAAUGCAGCUAUAUCAAUUUGAAAAUUUAUUUCACUCAUGUUUUAUUUGCUAUAGCUUUAAUAGUAGAUAUCUGAAGAGGAAAUAUUAAGCAAUUUUGAUUAGCGGUGACCAGUAUUUGAUUCAAACCGGAAAAACUGACCGAAUUGAAUUAAUUGGAAAAUUUGGUUUGGUGUUUAAAGAAAUUUGGUUCAGUUCACUUUUAACUUUCAUGUAUUUUGGUUUAUUUAGUUCGGUUUUGGGAGAAAAAAAGAUCUAAAACUAUGCAAACUAAAUAAAUAUAAUACAAAGGAAAAGUUAUUGCAACUUCUCUUAUGUGGCGAAAUGGUAAGUUGCAAAUUCCUGAGCACCCAGGUCCCAUGUUUGAUACUAGCCUAAGCCUUCUUUUAUAUUGCUUAUUUUCAUUAAACCUAAAUCAGUACUAACCAUUUAUCUAGAAAUAAUCUCAGCCAUCCAAAUCCUCAUUUAUAAACACAUUUUUUACAGACCCUACAUUCUUCAUCACCUUCCUAUGCAGCCCACCUCCCUUUCUCUCUGUUUUUUUUCAGUCUUUUGUUCUCUUCUUCCCAUCUCCUCUACUUCUCCACUUAAGAGUUACAAACUUACAAGUUUUGGUCGUCUUCUUAUUUCUUUCUCCUCCCUUAUUUCCCCUUUCUUUCUUUGUCAUUUGUUGUGAAUCUGCAUGCACUUCCUUGGCUCAGCAUUGCAGCACCUCCUCAUAGCUCCUACUGGCAGCAAUGCAACAAAACCUGUUUGCAGCACUGAAGACCGACAGAAAUGCAGCCCAGCAGAUCCGCUUGCUCACAACUCCGGCCAUUUUUCUCCUUUUUCCUCUGUAAUAUAUAAUACUGAUCUUGUUAUUUGCUUGUGAUUUUGAGUUAUUCUCAAAAGAUUGUGAUUUUGAGUUGAAUCAGUUAAUGGAUUUUAUUUGUAACUUUUUUUUUUUUUUUAGAUAUUUAUUUGAAUUUAUGACUAUCUGAUUGACUUGUAAUGUUUACAUAUGACUUGAAUAAAAGAACUGAAUAUAUAAAACCAAAUGGAGCCUAUUUAUUUUGGUUCAAUUCCAUCCAAUUGUAUAUAGUUCGCUUUUAAUUUUAAAUGCAAUUUCAUUUUUUUUUGUUGAAACCAAAAUGGCCAAAUGCUCAACCCUAAUUUUGAUCUAAUUCUGGCAGAGAAGAAUUGAAAGUUUUUUCUGGAGAAGUGGUGCGUUUUGGAAAUCGUUGCAAAGAUCCUCAAUGGCACAACUUGGAGCGAUACUUUGAAAAGUAAUUCUCAUGGCAUCCGCAUUCAGUAUCUUACUUUUUCCCAAUUUUCAAAUAAGGCUCUCGUUUUAUUCUUUAUUAUUAUUUCUACUUGUUAGGUUGGGUUCAGAGCUCACACCUGAAAAGCAAUUGAAGGAAGAAGCAGAUAUGAUGAUGCUGCAAUUGAUGACUUUUGUUCAAUAUACAGCUGUGAGUACUCGGUGUUGCUAACUUGCUAUUGUACAGACAAGCUGCCUUAGGUCAUGGCUUUAGCAUACAUUGCAUCUUCUUUUUGUGAUAAUUAGGGUAGUGUUUGACAGUAUUUUUUGUUUCUUUAGGGUAAGCAGAAAAGGCUUGGAUGAACUCCCUGUUUUAAUUUGAGUUUACUUCAGUCUUCAUUUUUCCAUUUCUAUUUUCAUUCCCUUUUAAAGGUGGGUUUGGAGUGAUGUUAAUGUUGCUCCACUGUGUCCAGGACCUAGAGGUCAUGGGUUUAUAGCACAGAAACAGAAGGUUGCAUACCUUUGACCUUUUCUACAGCCUUGAUGCAGGAAGUGUCAGGCACUAGGGCACUCUUUAUCUCUCUUUCCCUUUUCUGUUUGAACUUUGAUGUGGUUCGGUUAUACAUAUAUCCUAUUUAAUAAAAAAAGCUUUCAACUUCCGGAGUUGGGGAAUGAUGCUUAACUGGUUUUUUCAAUGGUGCAUCCUCACUGACGAAGGACUUUAACUUCGUUUGCUAUUAUUGUUUUUAAAUUUAUACUUUUUGGUAUAUAAUUCAUGCUUGACAUGCUAAGAUUUUUGGUUAGUGUUGGCAAUGUCCAUUGUCCAAACUCCAAAAUGCUAGUGGAAACUAAAAUGAUGUUGGUACAUGUAGGUAUAGAUUUGCUUGGGCACUCUUACCAAGUGAAAGAUAUGUGGAACUAAAUAUAAUUGCAUUUCAAAUGCAUCAAGUAAAACACCAGGAAUAGCUUUGUACUUGUCAUCCGACCUUUUAAUUGUAUACUGGUCUCUAGGGGGUCUGCUGUUUGUGUUCCUAGUUGUUCAGUUUGUGCAGUUGAUAUGCCAAAAUGUUGAAUCCUUUAUAUGUCGCCAGCUUUUAUUGUUCUCUGAGGUGAAGUGCAUCUGUCCUAUUCAACUUUGUUCAAAAGGCAUGUGAUUUUCUUUUGGAUGACACGUCCCUUUGCAUAUUUGUUGUAUAGAAUACGGACCCUAACUCCCACAAUUUGGUAUCUAUCUGGGUCUCAUCCUUAUAGUGGAAGGGCGGAUUAGCCUUAGCUGGUCAGUUCUCACCUCAGCCAAUGGUAACGUGUAUCUGAUUGAACUUUUGAAAGACUUUCUGAAACAAGUCUUAGUCAUCUAUUGCAUUGCUGAGUCAUCAUCUUCUAGCUAGCAAGCAGGAAAUCAUGUUAAAAAACAAUGUGAAAUGCAGUUUUAUAUGCAUAGAAAAAUCAUUGCCUACUAAACCAAAAGUUUGAAGUAUUAUAAGCCACUUUGACCUAAUAUUUACAGUGGAGAGAAAUCCUUCUUCCGCAAAAUCCUUCUGUCUCUUUCCUUCCACAAAAUACAUCAAAUAGUUACAGGGACUAAAGCUUAUUCGUGCAGUAGUUUAAUGAUAUACAAACUGCCCCAAGCCCACAAUCAUAUUGCACGAUAACACUUCUGAUGUGCUCACAAUGUAUUUUUCUUUUUCUUGAUUGCAGGAAUUAUAUCAUGAAAUGCAUGCCUUGGACAGAUUCGAACAAGAUUACCGACGUAAGCUUCAAGAAGAUGAUAACUCAAAUGUUGCUCAAAGAGGUAAGUAACAGCUUGAGUUUCAAUUUUUAUGCAUUUCUCUUUUAAUAGUUUUUAUUAUUGACUGAAGAACAGAUAGUUGGGAAAGAACAGACAUUUAUUAACACCUGUUCAUCUUUAGUUUCGAUAAUGGACAAUCAUCCAUAGGGGUUUGUAGGAUAAUUUGAUUUCUUAUCGAGCCUCUGAGAUCUGAUGGUUCAGAAAGUUUCAAGUGUAUGGAUGGCUGGAAGUAUAGAUCUAGAGGCAAUUUCUGUAUAGCAUAAUUUUAUUAGGAGAAAGAUGAGCGCGAUGCAAAUGCAGAAUUAAUGUCACUCAUGCAAAUCCGUGGACAUUUCUGUUUUUCCUUCCUUCAUUUGCAGGAAAUAGGAUUGGUUAUGUGUCCUUUUAUUUUUGGGGAAGCUUGUGAGAAGAGAUUGUUCCAUCUACUAAUAAUAUGUUGUAGAUAUGGAGACUUAACUAUGUUUUCUUUUUGGGACACGUUUUAUUUGCUUGCUUACUUAUGGAAUCUACGACUUCUUUUAACAUUGUUUGAUUACUUGAAAUAUUUAGAAUGGUUUUUUUAUAUGUAUAUUCCGCAAUCAUGGGCUUUGACUGCAGAAUUUGAAUCAUUGUUCCCUCUUUUCAGGGGUUCUAGGAGGAAAGAUAGAAAAUGGCUUGAAGAGAUUGUGUGCUUUUGUUUGGUAUUUUCUGGUAGAGAAAAUUGCAAGAACAAUUUGCACUUUAUUAUUAGGCACUGACUUGCUUUUGCAUUAAAUGGUUUCUUAGGCGUCGUCUUUGCUUCAGAGCCUUUUUACAGGGGGUUUUCUAUGUGUUCUGAGAUUUAAAACGUGUAUCUUGAGAAUACUCCUCUCUUAUUAAUAUUUCUUUCAUUAGAGAGAGUCAUUGUUGUUGAGGUCAAAAGCUUAUACAUAGGGAAGGUAUUGCAUGCUAAAAGCUGCAGGCAAAAGGGAGGUGUGGAUGGGUGGGAGUAGUGUGGGAUGAAGCCCUUCUGGUACAGUAUAAAAAGGAAACCUAUGUAAAGGUGCUUGUAAACUUCUCCUUCGUUGUGAAUAGUCAUGAGUGGCUCUGGACAUAGACUCAUAGCCAAACCACAUAAAAUUCCUUGUACCUUUCACCCAUUUUACAUUUUUCAUUCUAAUUUGUGUCAGUUGUACACUUCUCUCUUGCUGGUAUUCCUUUAUCAGGCACCCACACUACACACAUGGAUGGGAUGUCAUUUAUAAAUAUUAAAAUUGCAGCAUAAUUUGGUGUUCUAGAACUUGUUUCUACUUUUGAUGUUCCACGGCAUUCUUGGUUGAGGCCAAAGUGCAUUGAAAUAACUGGAGACAUUCUAUUUGUGAGGAAUUCCUGCUACCUUUGUAGCAUCAUGCUGAUGAUCUUAGAAUGUGGCACGGCUUGAAUUUCUGGAACUUAUUUUUGAGACUUUUUAUGGUCUUUCCUGAGCUUUGCUUAAUUCUGAUCAAAAUUGCUGUUAAUAGUUAUACAGUUUCUUAAAUUUAGUAUGUAUCAUAUGGUAGUAAAUUAUGUGCAGUUCCCUUGCUGGUAAUAUUGUUUCCUUAAAUUUUAAGAGGCUCAUCUUCUUUUAAUCUAGCGCUUGGAUUUAAAAUUUCAACAUGCUUGUUUGGGGCCCUAUGGUCUGGCUACAAUCUAAGCUGCACUUGGCCUGGCCACAGCUCACCAUUUAGAGAAUGCUAUACAUAGUUGAGAUUUUGUCUUAAGUGAGGAUAGGGAUGUCUGGUUAUACUCUGUUUCUCUUUUAUGAAUAUUAUCAUUUGUAACUUUAUUUUACUGAGGGUGUAUACAUGGUUGAUGUAGGUGACAGCCUUGCAAUUUUGAGGGCAGAGUUAAAGUCUCAGAGGAAGCAUGUAAAAAGUUUGAAGAAGAAAUCACUUUGGUCCAGGAUUUUGGAAGAGGUAGGCCUCAGUAUUGCUUCAGGUGCAUAUUUUUUAUGGAUGUGGCUCUACCGCUCUAGUGAUUAAUAUAUGAGAUUUAACCUGGUUGGUUUUUAUGUUUCCCGAUCCUACCAUGAGUAUGCAUCCAUCACAGAUGACAUUGGGUGGACUAUACUCUUCCAUAUUUGCCAAGUGAUAGCUAGAGAAUCUUUUGCUCUUUAUAAUUGUACAUAUUAUUACAAUAUAAUAUCAGACCAUUUAUUCGUAGGUAAUGGAGAAGCUGGUAGAUAUUGUCCAUUUCUUGCAUUUGGAGAUCCAUCAAGCUUUUGGUAGUGCUGGUAAGCAUUCCAUGUGUGGCCUUGUGACUCCGUAUAUGUGUUUUUUGAAGCUCUAUCCACCAUGUGAGCCUUGUUGUGCUGGUAGAUUCGAGAUAAUAUUUAUUAUGGGCCUCAUAUUUAUAUUUUUCAAUGGAGAAUAAGAAUGUUGUAUGAGAGGUCCUUGUUCCUGCUUUUACUUGGACACCAUUGAAACGAAAAUGUUAGUGAUGUUGCAAUAAUAAAGUAAAUCAACACCAUAGAUGGGUGUACAAUGUGAUAAUUUUCAAUUAGAGGGGAGAAAAGGAAUAUGGUUUAUCAAGGUAGCUGGGCUUAAAACUCAACCGAGUUGAAUCAUUUUGGAGACAAAUGGAUAGUGAAACCAAUAUUAUUGGUAAUUCACAUAUUCAACAACACGAAGCCUUGAAUUUAGCAUUUCAUAAAAUGUGAACAUGACAACUACAAUCAUAGGGUGUGAGGGUUCUCUUUAUUUUCUAAGAAUUGUCCAACUCCUGCAGAUGGACAUUUCUCUGCUUUUCACAUCUUAUCCCUUGAUGCCAUUUUGGUUGGAAAAAGCAAAUCUUUUAAGUUUAUGGGCAAACAUUGAUUCAUUAAUAUAAUGGAGUUUCUUUUUCCAUUAUUAUUUUAUAGUUAUUAUUUUUAAUAUUUCACCCAUUAACUUUCAGAUGAUGAUAGACCAGUAAAAGGUUCCAGCUGUCAGAAAAAAUUGGGCUCUGCAGGUCUUGCUUUGCAUUACGCAAAUAUUAUCACUCAAAUUGACACGCUGGUGAGUCGGUGAUUGAUAUUCUUUACCUUCUUUUAAGGUUUUUAUUUUUAUAUUUUUCUAAAGUUAAGAGCAUUUGAGAUCAAAUCAUUGUACCAUUGUCGACACCUGGUUGAUGCAUCGUAUCAAAUUAUUUCUUUUUUGGAGCUAAUAUCUGAAAGUGAUCAGGUGUCUCGAUCAAGUUCUGUACCUCCAAAUACAAGGGAUUCUUUAUAUCAAGGGCUUCCUCCCAAUGUCAAAUCUGCCUUCCGCUCAAAAUUACAAUCCUUCCAUGUAAAGGAAGAGGUAUUCCUUUGUUUUUAAUCUGAAAGAAUUUUAUAUUUUAGAUUUAUUUUUAGUAGGUUUUCAGCCAAAGAAAAUGGUCUUAAUUGCUUGCCUAUAACUGAUUUAAUUGUUCAUUUCAAACUUAACUCAUGCAGCUAACAGUCGCACAAAUCAAAGCUGAAAUGGAGAAAACUCUGCAGUGGCUUGUUCCAAUUGCUGCAAACACAACCAAGUAAAAUAGCUUUACUAAUUUUCUUUGCCUAUGCCAAAAAAGUGCUUAGUUUUAGUAUCUAAUUUUAUCAUUUGUCAAUUCCUUAAGUGGGGGCAUCAUAAAAUUCCUAAAAGUCUGAUACUAAUCUUGGUUAAAUAGAAACUAUGCUCUGGUGUGGCUGUGAUGUGAACAACAGAUUUUUCGUUACCAUGUUACUUGUUCACUAUACAAUGCAUGUUUGUCGUCUUAGCUUACUUUCUGAUCGUUUGUGCUUGUUUUAUUGUCGUCGCGAAUGAUGGACAACCAGAGCUCAUCAUGGAUUCGGUUGGGUUGGAGAAUGGGCAAAUACGGGGUGAGCUACAUAUACUUCUGUGCAUUUUUUUUUCCUUCCCUUCUUUUUUUCUCUUAUAUAUCUUUGUUAAGCUCUUCCAAUUAAAAUUCUUCAGGUCGGAGGUGACCAGGAAACCUGCUGGACAGACCGACUUGCUCAGAAUCGAGACACUGCACCAUGCAGAUAAAGAGAAGACUGAAGCUUACAUUCUUGAAUUGGUAGUUUGGCUUCACCAUCUUGUCAGCCAAGCAAGGGCUAGCAAUGGUGGAAUAAGAUCUCCAGUUAAAUCACCAAUUCGGUCGCCUAAUCAGAAAAUGAUUCAGUUAUCUACCAACAAGUCAAGCUCUCCAUCCCCAAUGCUGACAAUUGAAGAUCAAGAGAUGCUCCGAGACGUAAGCAAGAGGAAGAAGACACCUGGGAUAAGCAAGAGUCAGGAAUUUGACACUGCAAAAACAAGAUUGAGCAAACAUCAUAGGCUGAGCAAGAGUAGUAGCCAUUCUCCCAUUAAUGAAAGUAGAAAAGAUCCUUUCCCUAUAAGGAGGCCUUCAUCUGUUCCUGUUAUCGACUUCGAUAUAGACCGAAUCAAAGCUUUGGAUGUUAUCGAUCGAGUCGACACGAUUAGAAGUUUAUGAUUGUAUCAGAAUAGGCAGUGAUGAAAAUCUAGGCAAAUAAAGAGGCCUGUUCUUGUGAAGGAGGAUUCCAUCUGAUACAAUUUUUGCUUUGGUUCUAGUGGGAGGAGUCUGUUGCUAGGCUUAUGAUGAGUGAUGCAAGUCUUUGGUUUUCUUUUUUUUUUGCUUGUGAGAGUUUAAUUUUUCUAGAAAAUCAGGCCAUAGUUUCUGCUUAGUUAUGUGUACAGAAUAUUUUCAACUAUUUUAUAAUAAUUUAAAGUUCAUUUUUUCCCAGGAUAAGCCUAAUUAGCUGCAUCCAUUGAAGCAAAACACUCUUAAAAACUGUGAUUUAGGUUUUGCAUUUUUUUUUUUUUUGAAAAGUAAAACCAUUAAUAAAUUUUAUCCAACAAAAACGAAUAUUAUGUGAAAUAAAAAAUUUUAUUAAAUAAAUAGAAAUAUUAUCCUAAACUAGUCAUGCCUAAUAAUGUAGAGGAUUAAGUAGAGGAUUAAAUGGAAUUUUGUAUAUAUAUAUUUUAAAAAUUAUUUUAAUAUUUAAAAAUUAAAUUAUAAUUUAUCAGGAUAAAAAGUAGUUUUUAAAUAUAAAUGAUUUUUUGCAGAUAAAUUUUUUCUUUUUAAAUGGAGGUUGGAAAUCGAGGGAAUAGAAUUCGAGAUCUCUAAAAUUUAUUCAGAUGCACUUAUUAUCAAAAUAUCUAAUUUAUUUAGAUACACUUAUCAUUAUUCGGUGUUUUUUACAAAUAAACUAUACACUUACCAUUAUUCAGUAUUUUCUAUAAAUAAACUAUACACUUACCAUUAUUCAGUAUUUUUUACUGAUAUAAACUGUUAAAAAUUAUAAUUUUUGAGAAAUUAAAUUUUUAAAAAUAACAUCGCAGAGUGAAUAAUAUAUAUAAUUCCUUUUUAUAUCUCUUUAAAAUUAAUAGAGUUUCUUUUUGUUUUCAUCAUUCUGAAAUUAUAAUUUAUUUAUUAAGUAUCAAUAAAGUAUUUUAUUUUAAAAAUAAAGUAAUUAUUAAAAUUUUUGUGGACACCACUUGCUUCCAAGUUGCCUUCAAGUAACUAACAAAGGCCCACUUAAGCAUAUAAUAAUGCAAAAUAUUGUUUCAUGUUUUGCAACAUCUUAAACAUUAUUCACACAUUUUCUUCUACUUUCCACUUAACCAUUUUGGAAUUAUAUUAAUUUUUAUUCAAAACCAUCAAUUAAUUUGAUUGGUUGGUAAUUCCACUCCAUGAUUCAUCCACUCUGUUUUUUAGAAUGCUUUGUUUUCUAAAGUCUUAUUAUUUGUUGGGUGGAUUUUAUUAUCAUUUAGGAAAUUUUAUUAAAAUUCUAUCAGAUUAAAAUUAUAUAUAUAUAUAUAAUAACUUCACAAAACAAGCAUAUAUAAUCAUAUAUUUUAAUUGACAAUAUAAUAUUAUUUUAACAUUAAUUUAGUAGGGUAUUUAUGAAAUAAUUAAAAAAAUAAAUAUAACUUUUAUAAAACUUAUGAACUAAGAUAUAUGAAUUUUAUAUUUCUCCAUGAAAUAAAGUUAUUUUAUUUUAUUUUUAAAUAAACUAAUUAUAAAAUUUACAUAAUUAAUGAUAAAUCAAUUAUGUGUCAUUGCAUUGUCAUCAUGAUUGCGAUUUGCGACGGCUUAAUCCAUUUCAAUAUUAUACUCUUAUUUAUUAAUAUAAAAAAAAUUAUAAAAUUAAAAUAAAUAAAUAAUAACUCGUAGAAUUCACUUUCCAAAAGUCCACUCUAAUCUUUCGGUGCUAAAUAAAUAACAACAAUUUUGUACAUAAAAUUAUUUACAGGCUUUAAUUAAUAUCAUAUUAUUAAUUUUAUUUGGCAAAUAAAUAAAUAAUAGAGAAUUUUCUUUUUAAAAUUUAUUUUUUUGUAUUCACAAAAAAUUAAUUUUUCAUAGGGCGAGUCAAUUUUCGCCAAAUUAGUCUUCCCGAAUAUACGCACUAUAUUGAAUUCAUCAUUAAAACGGAUGAGCUCACAAUCCAAUUAAUGAAUUUUGAUUUAAUGAUGUCAAAAUUUAAAAUUGAUAUCAUAAUUAUCUAGGGUAAUGACUGCUCAAUUUCACCAUUUCGGUCUGAAGCUUGACCCAUGAUAACAGUCUAUUAUUUGAAAGCUCUUAAGUCUCUCGCAUGAAUCAGAUUCAGUCCGCUUGGCCUGAAGACUGAACUCUCUCUAAAGCCUCUCAAUUAGACCGGUCCAGUCCCUUCGGCCCUAAGAUCAUAUCUCUCCUGAGCUUCAGUCCUAAUCUCACCAACUGGUCCAGUCCAGAGGAGAAAAUAUAGCCAGUCUAUUCACCCAGUAGGUCCAUCCGCAUGAUGUCAAGGGAAAAUUAAAUAGCCGUUACGUAUGGAGGAUAGAUCUGAUAUUCUCGUACGUCUAUAUCUGUAUGGCAGAGACAGGUGGCUCAAUGACAGUGAGACCGUUACACGUGGUAGACAAAGGAAAAAAAUAAAAGGAGUUGAGGACUCUCCUCUCAUACUAAGUUCACUCAACCCUUAUAAAACUCUAUUUUUCUAGGUCUCAGAUCAUAUCAUAUGGGAUGACUUGUUUGAAAAUAGAGGAAAAAAAAUUUUCAAUCCCUAAUUUUUAAUCCCUAAUUCUCUCUCACGGUCUUAAUCUACUGGUCAGUAUAUUUAAAUAAAUUUAGGGAUCUUAUAUUCUAUUUCUUUAAUCUCUAAUUCUCAAUUUCAAAAUAAAUAUUAAAAGAUGUUAAAUAAACCUUUUAAAUUUUUAUAAUGAAUCAAAUAUACCCUAUGGAAAUAUAUAUCACCUUUAAGUUUUAAAAUUGAAUAACUUCAUCCUUCGACUUUUAGAAAUAGAAAAAAUAUACAUAUAUUAUAAUUUAUUUUAAUUUAAAUCCAGCUAAAAAUUACGUACAAGAUUCUCAUAAGCUAUCUUAUAUAGCCAAUUUCUAAUAUCACGAUAAAAUAAUUGAAAAGGUUUAUUUAAAUCUAAAAAAAAAAAUUAAGUGGUUAUUUAAAUAAAUUACUUAUACUUUAAGGAUUAAAAUAGGUUUAUUGCCUAAUUAAAUAUAAAUAUAUAUAUAAAUGUGGGGCUAUUUUAAUAAAAUAUGUAACAUAUUUAUGAAAAUUUUAACUGAAAAACUACCAUAUUCACUUAUCACAUUAAUGAUGAUUUUCAUAGAAUUCAUGAAAUUCAAACUCUAAAAUUAACUUUUUAAAAAUGAGUUUGGCAUGUUUUGUCAUCCCUAUUAAUUUUAUAAAAUAAAAUAAGAUUUAAAAUAUUGCAUAUGGAUUUUUAAUAUUUUAAUAAUUUUUAGUAGAAUUUCUUUUAUAGUCUUUUGAGAAAUUAUUAUUAUUAUUUAGUAAACCUAACUAAUAAUAAUUAAAAAUUUGUAAAAGAAUAUGAAAAUAUUAUCGAUAGAAGAGAAGAAGAUAACCAUAUGACAAUGCAAAUGAAUCUUGAAAAAGAUAUAACUAAAAUUAAAUAGAAUUGAUUUUAAUUUUUUUUUAUUUUUAUAUUCAAAAAAUUAAAAUUAUUUAAAAAUGAAAACUAAAACCAAAUCAGUAAAUAAAUAAAUUAAUUAAAUAAAAAAUUACAUUAUAUUAACUCAAUUCAAUUUUUAAAAUAAAUUGAUAUUUGUUAUGCCUUUAAAAAUUAUAAAAAUCGACAAUGUUAAUGUUUAAUUUGGUGAUAAAUAUAUCUGAAUAAAUCUGUACGAUUUUAGAUUUUACGUUUUUAAUUUUUAAUUUUUAUUUUAAAAAAAUAAUUUAAUUUUUUUCUGUAAAUAAAGACAAUUUAUACAAAAUAAAAAUAUAUUUUAAUAGAAGAAAAGAAAAUUAAUUUAAAAAAUAAAAAUUAAGAAAAAAAUAUAUCAUACUUCAAAGCAAAAUAAAAUACUAUCCUCAUUUUUUUAUUAAAAUAAUAGAUAUAUAUGAAUUAAAGACGAAACUUUACACGUCGAUUAUAUUUUUUUAAAUUCAACUUUAUAUAUAAAGUUAUUUAUAAAUCCCUCGUGGCGGUGUGUAGAGAGGAAUCCAGGAAUGGGCAAUGAGUGUCAUGGACCUUCUUUGAAAUUUUUGAAAUUUUUUAAAAAUAUAAAUAAUUUUUUUAAAAAUAUAAAAAAUAUUAUUAAAUUCUUAUAUAUUUAAAAAAUUUAUUAAUUUAUUUUAUUUCAAAAUUAUUUAGUUAAAUCAUUAUUAUAUUUUAUAACAUAAAAUUAAUUAAAUAAAUUUUUACUAUUUAACACUUCAUCAUUUCUAUUAUUUUUCAAUUUAAAAAAUUUACUUUUUAUUCUAAAAAAUUAAGUCCCGAUUUCCAUAUAAACCUUUUUUUACAUCAUUCACACAUUAUUUAAUUUAGUUGUAUAUACUAUUUUUAUUAUGCAGUGAUAAUUUUUUUUAUUAAUUUAAUUAUAUAAUUGAAAUUAUAUAAAAGUAAAUUUUAAUGAGUUAAAAUAUUUAUUUUUUUAGAAAAAUUAAAUUUUAAUAAUAAAUCAUGUAUUAAAAUAUUAUAUUAUGUUAAUGGUAUUAUUUUUUUUUAUGAAUUUGAACGUUAUAAUUAUAUUAUUAAAAGUUAAUUUUAUAGUGAUAAAUUAUAAAUAAUUAAUUGAUAAUUUAUAUUAAAAAAUAUAUUUGUAAAUAGAUAAUAAUAAAAUUAAGAAUAUAUUUUAAUUAAUAAAAAAUAAAUGAGAAUAAUUAUAAUUUAAUUAUAAUAAUUUAUUCGCUUUUUAUAAAAAAAUAUUUUUAAAUACAUAAUUAUUUUAUAUUUCAUUUAUUUUAUAAUUUUUAUUUAUUUUGAUUUUUCAUACAUAUUAAACAAGACUUUCUAAUUAUAUUCAUUUUAUAAAUAUUAAUUUUUAUUAAUUAUUAAAAAAUAUUAUAAAUAUUUAUUUGAAAAAAUAAUAAUUAAUGAUAAAUUAAUUUAAAUAUAAUAUAAAAUUAAAUAGAAUUAUAAUAAUCGAUUAGAAUCGAUAAAAUACUAAAAUUAAAAAUAAUAUAUUUUAUUUAUUUUAAUUAAAUCUUAUGGAUUAAAUUUUUGAAUUCGUUAUGGGCGGUGUGAUUGUGAAAAAUAUUUAAAAAAAAAUUAAAAUAGAUAUAUAUGAAUUAAAGGUUUAGCUUUACACGUAAAUUAUAUCUUUUGAUUAUGAUUUUUAUUUAUAAAGUUAUUCGUAAAUCUCUUCCAUAUUCAGAGUAGGGGAUGCUUUCAAAACAAAAUAAAAUAGAUAUAUAUGAAUUAAAGACCGAAGUCUACACGCUAAUUAUAUUUUUGAUUUUGACUUUUGGUAAUCAAAUUAUGUGUAAAUCCUUCUGGCGCUUCUGUUUUCAGCGCAGAAGAUACUUUCAAAAGACUUCUAAGCUUGCAUAGGGUUUUAAGCUUUGAUGCUAUUGCUGAGUGCUGACCAAUCGAUCUGUUCGAUAAGAAAUUGAAAAUCGAACUGUAAAAAUAUUUAGAAUUAAAAAAAUUAAUUAUAAAAAUAUAGUUAAAUUGAAUUAAACGGAUAAAAAUUAAUUCGAUUUAAUUUCAUUACGUUAGUAGAAUAAUUUAAUAAAUUUUUAAAAAAUAUUAUAAAAAUACAUAAUAAUACUUAAAAAAUUUAUAUAAAUUCAUAUAAAAUUUAAAAAUAUGUAUAAAAUCAAUAUUUCAUAUAUAAUAUAAAAUUGAUUAUUCGAUUUAUCGAUUAUUUAAUAUAUUUAAAUCAAAUCGAACUAAUAAUUAAAUAAAUUAAAAAAUAUUAAUCAAACCAAACCGAAUAUUUUAAUUAAUCAAACUAUUAAACUAAAAUUAAUCAAUUUAAUUUUAAUGAUCUGAGAUCCAGAAAAUAGGGUUUUACAAGGAUUUUGUGAAUUUAGAAAAAACUUAACCUAAAAGAGAGUGUUUCCUCCCUUUUAUACUCUUUCCUCUCCCUCACGCGAGAUGACCUUUACGCUAUAGGACCACCUACCCUUGGUGCAGGUCCGUUCGUACGGAUAGCCUCAGGACCAUCCCUGUGUCAGGCAAGUAUUUAAUUUUCUUCGGCGUGCGAGUGGACAGGGCUGCGAAAUGACUGGACCCACAGUCUUGUCUUCUUGUGGCCGGGUUUAAGGGAAAUGGACCGGGACCUAGGAGUGGGCUGGCUUUAAGGUUGAAAUGGACCGGGCCGGUUUGAUUGAAUGACUUUAAUAGGAGUCCGAUCAGGAGGAUGAACGGAUUGGAUCUGGCUUAUUUGGGGUUUAGGAACCUCCUGAUUGUGGGCUGCUACUAUCGGUCCGGUCUCAUAAUGAGAUGGAGACAGCGAUGAUCAGAUUUAAUUUUUUAAUUCAAGCCAAUAUAUACUCUCUCUUACUAUUGCUAGAAGUCUUUGGAGGGUACUAGUUAAAUAAUAAAUAUAAAAUUAAAAUUUUUGAAAAUAAAUGUUAAAUUCUUAAUACAAUUAAUCUAAAUUCCAUAAAAAUAUAAUUAUUGUAUUCUAAACUUUAUAAGAGUGAAACUGUUAAACUCUUUAAAAUAUUAAAAAUAUAUAAAAUAAAUCAUUAAAAUUAAUAAUUUGUUUUUUGAUAAGAAAAUAUUAAUUGAAAAAUAUCAACCAAUCACAGCAUCAGCAUUCAAACAUUAGCAAGGAAAUAAAAUUACGCUAAAUAUCAAAGUUUAAUAAAAAAAAGAUAAAUGAAAUUACGAAUUUUAAGUUAAAAUUUCUAUUUAAGAAAUAUAAUUUAAAAAAAAAUAGAGAACAGCAAUGGAAAAGUUGAGCAAUGACGAAAAGACAAAGAGUCACUGUGAAAAUUAAUUCUAGGUUAAUUGUGACAUAAGCUUUUAGAUUUUCAAUUUUUUAAUAAUAAAUAUAUAAAUAUAAGCAAUUUAAAAUUUCAAGAUGCAUAUAUAAGUAUAUGCACUUAUAAUUUAUUAUACUGCUUUUUUCGUUUGAAAUAUAAUUUUUUUUAUUAAUUUUUUUAUUAUAUUAUUUUAAAUAUAUUAAAUUUUAUUAAAUAUUAAAAAAUUUUAAAAAUAAAAUAAAAUUAUAAUAAUCAAUUUAUAUAUUAUUAUAAUUUAAAAAAAUAAUUUUGAAAUAAUUAAAAAUAAUAAUAAUAAUUAUGGCAUUAAAUAUGUAUAUAUUAAAAUAAAAAUACGGAAACCAAUUAAACUAAAAGGAGCACUUUGAGACGGACUGAAAGAACAAUAUGCCGCUAUGUUAAAUUAAUUAUAAAGUGAUAAUCCUCUAACUAGUUAUACUUUUAUAAUCAUAAAAUAUUAAAAAUUAACAUUUUUUUAAUUAUUAUACUAAUUAUAUUUAUUAAAUUAUUAAAUAUAAUUUUUAUUACUAUUGCAUAGUUUAUAUGAAAAAAAUAUCGAUUAUUGUAAUAUGACAAAAUUAAUUAAUUAAUAUAUAAAUUUUUUAAAAAUAUAAUAAAAAAAUACCACAUAAUUUUAUAAAUUUAAAUUUUUUAUUUUAAAAUAUGUGAUUUAUUUUUGAAAUAUAUAAUUUAAUUUUAUAUUAAAAUAAUAACAUAUAAUAUAAAUUCUAUAUUAAUAUAAAUAUAAAAAUUAUUAUUAUUUAUAAAUAAUAUGAUAUCAUGCGAUACUAUUAAAAUAUAAAAUUCAACUAUAUACUUUAAAUUAAACUACAGAUUUUAAAAUAAAAAAUUGAUAAAAUUUUUAAUUUUUAAUUUUUUUUAUAAAAAAUAAUCUAUAUAAUUUUAAAAAUUCAACUAAAAUGUCUCUUUUGUUUUGGCGCUAUUAAGUUCUCUUAAACAUUUUAUCGUAAAACUAGUAAUAACGGUGUUAAAAUUUGGAGUAAUAUUUUUAAUUGAGUCGUUAAAAUUAUAGAGAUUAUUUAGUGUAAUUUUAGAAGUAUUAAAAUUAAUAUCACACCAUAGUUAUAACGAUCCGGAAAUCGGACCGCUACCGGCACUAGAAUUCAGAUCGACUUAAGGUCACCGGAACCCGUAGCAAGCCUACUAUGCUUUCUAUAAACCUGGUAAAUCCCAUACAUUAUCAACAUUUUUCAUAAAAAAUUUGAAACUUUACAUUUACCAAGUUUAACCCUGUGCAUGCACAUCAUUUCUAUAAACAUAAAACUCCAUACUAGAGCUCUCAUCAAAUGCUCUAGAUGGGUCAUCAUUUCAUAUAUUAAGCUUGGUCCUCAACAUAUAUCAUUAUAAAACAUAAUAAUAUACAGAUCAUGUACAAAAGGGUUCUACCAACUCUAGGGCCAAGCACAACUCUAUCAAUAUACAUUACAUGACUUUACAUCAAUGUACAAUACAUGUCCACUGUAAUACCCGGCUAGUUCAGACAUCAGAAUUCUUACCAUCCGGUGGAAUUCCGGAAUGUCAGAGGAGAGAAGUGGUAGGCUUUAUAUGUUUAUCUGUUUGUUUUUUUAACAUUCGAGGACGAAUGUUUUAUAAGGGGGGAAGAAUGUAAUACCCGGCUAGUUCAGACAUCAGAAUUCUUACCAUCCGGUGGAAUUCCGGAAUGUCAGAGGUUCUAGAAGGGUAAGAGUGAAGGUUUUCUAAAAGGUUUUUAAGUGUUUAAAAGGUUUGAUUCAGAAAAGAGUUAAGUUUUGAGGAGAAGUGGCCUAAGGAGUUUCUGUCAUGUUCGGCCCCCGAAUGUUAAGUUCGGCCGCCGAAAGUGCCCAAUGUUCGGCCCCCGAAGGUUAUGUUCGGCCCCCGAACGUUGCAUGGUUUUGCAUGCAGUUUCGCCAGCCGAAGCUGAGGUGGUCGGUUAGUUGUGCACACUCCUCAGUCCGUGGUUUGGCCAGGUGUUCACCUCCAGAUCAUGACCAGAGGUUUGGCCACGUCUCCCUUGACUCAUCUGCACGCUUUAAUCAGCUUAUGCAGAGGGUUGGUCUUUUGCAAACGGGGUUGAACGUUUUUGAGAGAAAAGAAGAGUUGUGAGGGUUGAAGCUUUGGAGGAGGAGUUGCUGAGUUGGCUGUUCCUCUUCUGUUUUCAAGAGGUAAAGGAAGUCUUUUAACUUGUUUUAAUGAUUUAUAACAGCUUUUAAAGAGGUUAAGGGGAGAGUUAUGUAUAGAGGUUUCAUUUUGAUGUUUUAAUGGUGUAACUAUGUAUAUGUGUUCUAGUUGCUGUUUUGUUGGGGUUAGUAGGUAGUUUUGGACCCCUUGGUUCAUAUACCUGAGUAUAUGUGAGUGAAGGAGGAGGUAUGCAUGUAUGGAGUGGGGUUGGUGCUUGGCAGGCUUGUUCAUGCACGAAUCUGAGUUCUGGAUGAACUCAGGUUCGGCCGCCGAAGGGAGGAUUCGGCCGCCGAACCCCUUGUGGAGGCAGUUUCGGCUGCCUAAGGUUGCUUCCGAAAGAAUGGACUUUCGGCUCUGUCAUGCACAUUCGGCCGCCGAAGGUGCCGCCGAAGGUGCUCUGUCCAGCCUUCUUUUGCAUGUUUAUGUGAUUGUUUUCAGAGGUUCAGAGGGGGUUAUAGGGGAUUGUUUAAGAGUUGAUAAGAGUAUGUUGACACCUCAUUCGAGUCCAUUUGUGUAGGCUUGGACCCGACAGUUCAGGGAGGUCGUCAGGAUUAGCAGUUGCAGCGUCAGUCAGGUUUCUGCUUGAGGAGCAGAGGUGAGUAGAACUAAACUUAAUCUUUUUAUUAAAGAAACAGAAUGCUUUUCAGCAUAGGACAUGCAUCAUGAAUGCUAUGAUAUGUAUUAGGGUGAUUGCAUUAGAAUCACGAAGAUGGUGCAUUACAUUAUUCAUUGAUAGUGGGAAUUGGACCAAGGCGACAUCAAUAGCCCUUAGAGGGAGUUUUGAGGUCAUGUCUAAUUCCAGAUGAUUGGACCCAGGCGACAUCAAUAGCCCGUCGAGGGAGUUUUGAAGUCAUGUCCAAUCAAUGAUGUGGAAUAUAUGAGAUGUGUUGCAUUUUCAUAAAAGAUGUGUAUGCAUGAACUAUUUUCAGUGUUUCUACUCACUGGGCUUUAGAAGCUCAUCCCUUUCCCUUAAUCCCAGUUUUGCAGGUUCAGUAUAGCAGGGAAAGUCAGCAACAGCAGAGUGGUGACUAGAAGACUGCAUGUGUAAUAGCUUAGUAUGGACAUGAUGUAAAUAAAAGAAAUAUAAGUAAAGGCAUGUAAUAGCUAAUAAGUCAGUAUGAUAUGGUUUAGAAUGUGCUUUUGCCUAUUGCCUAGUGUUUGUUUAUCCCUUGUAUAUGCAUGUAUCCUGUUUUCAGUUUCUUGAGGAGAACUGUGUCAAAACAGACUUAAUCAAUGUUGUGUUUCGAAAACCCAGUGAAGGAUAACUGUGAGGGAAGAUAGGGUUUCAUUUCCUUGACCCAAGACCAGUGCAAAGGAAAGAUCAGGUUUGAUUCCUGUGAUCCACAGAGUAGACCACUAGAGAAAACCAGGUUUGAUUCCUGUGACUCUAUGGUAGCCAAGUUAAUUUAUGAUAUGCUGACCCUUACAGAGUGGGUUCUAUGCUGCAGAGCGCAUAGGGUAUGGAGGUUACUUGGUAAAGCAUCACUGGUGUAUUAUAGAUAGCCCGAGGGCUAGUUCAGAUUAGUAUAUCUGAGCAUUUUGGUUCAUACGAUUGGACCUAUAGAGAGUGUUUUACAGGUUAAGUCUGGUUGUUUUAAAAGCAAAGUUUUAACAGGUAGUAGUCCAGUCGGAUCAUGUAUGGGAUUUUAGCAGGUACACAGAGUUUCAGGAUAGGCUUACUACGGGUCUAGGCGGCCUUAAGCCGAUCUGGAUCCUAGUGCCGAACGGUUCGGACCGUUACACAGAGGGUACCGGUUUCCUGGCUGUUACAUCCACUACUACUAUUACAUAAACUUUUCUCUUGUAGCUAUCCCAUGCUAUCUCUGGCCUUGCAAACCUGGGGGUGAGGUAAAGGGGUGAGCUACUAGAGUCCAGUGAGUAGAGCAAUAAUAAAAACCAUUUAAUAAAUCAUGCUUCCAUGAAAUGCAUCACAUCACAAAUAAUUCAUAUCAAGGAUGAACUUGUCACCAAUAGUCCUCACACAUUCCAAUAGUGCCAGGGCGUAGCAUGGGCCCCUGGUCUUUCUCAUAACAUUCAUAACAUAACAAUAACAUAACAUGACAUUCCAUUAUGCCAGUGGCGUAGAAUGGGCCUCAGGUCUUUCUCUUACAUGGUGCCAGGGCGUAGCAUGGGCCUCUGGACUUCCUCAUAUAUCAUGCCAGGGCGUAGAAUGGGCCUCUGGACUUCCCUCAAGGACUAAAGGAUCAUUUAACAUCCAUCCACAUCAAAUAUAUAUAAUGCAAUGCAACAUAUUCGUGAGUUCUAAUGCAAUACAACCUCAUAUAUCCAUGGCAUUUAUGAUGCAUGAGUCAUGCUAAAACCUUUCAUUUACUUUAAAACAUAGUUCAGUUCUACUCACCUCUAGUAGACGCUGGAAAAACUCUGAACCAGCUAACACUAAGGGCCUCCUUGGUUCCUCGGGUUCGAUCCUACACAGGUGGACUCAAAUGAGAUACCAACAUACUCUAACAUAACUCUAAACAUUCCCCCAAAAAUCCCCAAAAACAUCUCAAACAUGCAUGGAAAAACAAGCAAAGGAAGGCUGGACAGGGGACUUUCGGCGGCAGGUUCGGCGGCCGAAGGUCCCUCCAGAGCCGAAAGUCAAGCACUUUCAGAGGCAGGGUUCGGCAGCCGAAAGUCCUUCCAGAGACGAAAGUCACAACCUUCGGCGGCAUGUUCGGCGACCGAAACUCCACUCCAGAGCCGAAAGUCCAAACUUUCGGGGGCGGGUUUAGGCGGCCAAAACAACCUCCUCAAGGGGUUCGGCGGCCGAACCUGAGUUCUCCAAGAAGGCAGAACUCGAUUCGACCUUAAGUCUCCAGCCUCCAAAACCUCUCCAAAACAUGCACAACUCACACCCAAGCUCUCAAACACAUGCAUAUACCCUUCUUCAUGUAUAUAGGGGCUUAGAACUAGCUCAAACCCCCAAAACCAACACAUAUACACACAUAUGGCUUAUGAUCAACAUAAACCCUACCCAUGCAAACCAUGCAAAACCCUCACUUAACUUAAAACAUCAAGAAAGGUGAGGAUCCAUGCUUACCUCUUGAAGAUCGAGAGGAUUGAUGGUCUAAACUCGGAGAUGCAAGGGAAAACAGAUCCAGAACCUCUAAGCCUCACAACUUUGCUUCUUUGCUCAAAAACUUUAAAAUCAACAUAAAAACUAUUUAAAACUUGCUCAACUUUGAAGAAAAACAAGAAAUCCAUCAAAGGAGGUCAAGAACUCACCUAUACCCGAAAAGAGAGAGAAAACUCACCUCAAAUCCGGAUAAGGGGCCCUUUUAUAGGUGGCCGGUCAACCACCUUCAGCGGCCAGAGCUGUCUCCACAGUUUCAGCACGUUUGGAAGCCGAACUUGGGCUUCGGUGGCAACGAAAGCUAGCCACCUUCGGCGGCCGAAAGUGAGGUUCAGCGACCGAACUUUACAUUUCCCUCCUUGGUCUUUUCUUUUCAAAACUUCAAGUUUUCUUCAUCAAAACACUAAAACCAUUCAAAAACAUUUUAGAAACCUUUCUUUUACCCUUCUAGGAAACUCCGACAUCCUCGAAUUCCAGUUUCCAACGGAGAUUCCGCCGGAAAGUAGAAAUUCCGACGCCGGAGUCUAGCCGGGUAUUACAAUAGUAAUUUUUUAUAUAAAAAAUUAUAUAAUAUUACAAUAAUUGCCAAUGUAAAUAAUGUGAUAACACUCAAAAAUAGAAUCACGUGUCAAGAGUUUGAUCAGAUGAUACCCGAUUUUAUCAAUAAAAAAAAAUUCGGACACCGUAGAGUCUUAGUUAUUCAUCAAGACUUGCGCUCUCAACUACAAGAAAAGGCUCUAUGAGAAGUUAUCCUUAGUAGAUAUAAUCCAACAUAUUUCAUUACAUAUAUAAUCAUGGGAUCAGUACUCAUUGGCCGGCACCAAUCGAAUUUUCAGAAGAUGCAAUAACUAACUCUAUCUUCUGGUAAUAUCAAAGCAAAUGAAUAUAGAUAUCAAGGUACGCAAUUCUUACAUAACUACUGUUAGAUUUAACGUAUUACGUUACACACGCCUUUCUGUUCAAUUUACUGACUUGAGCAUUGCAAUGGCUGUCGUAGACGCCAACCACCUCAUUUUUUUUUCUUGUAGAUUGACCAAUUGUAGCACUGUACAGAUCCGAAAAUCGAACUACUACCGGAGUUAGGGUUCAGAUCGACUUAAGAUCGCUAGAGCCCGUAGCAAACCUACUAUACAUCCUAUUAUACCUCAUAUAGUCCCAUACAUGAUCACACAAGCAUAUAAAAUAUUUCUAUUUCGUUAACUAAAACUCGAUCUGUACAUGCAUCAUAACUGAAAAAUAUAAAACUCAUAUUAGAGCUCUCAUCAAAUACUUCAAUAUGGUCAACAUCACAUGCCUCAAGUUUGGUUCAACAUAACUUAUACUUUAAAACUUUUACAUAAAAAAAUCAUAAACUAGAGAUUAUAAAAGGAAACUCGACAAAAUACAAUUCUAAUCCACAAUUUAAUACAUGUCCAUAGCUAUAUUGUUAUAACAGGAUUAUACCAACAACUUUGCUGACCUUCCAAGCUAACUCAGAUCCUGCAAACCUGGAGUUAGGGGAAAGGGAUAAGCUAUAAGAGCCUAGUGAGCAGAAACAUAAGCAAAAGCAGUUUAAUAAAACACAUGGUCGUAUGAAUGCGUCACAACACAAACAAUUCAUAUCAAAAUGGACUUGUCACCAGUAACCUUCUACAAAUUUCAAUAGUGUCCGGCCCACAACGGGUGCUCCUCAAGACUUCCUUUUAAAUAUAGUAUAAUAUAUCCAUAAUGUCAGGGGCGUAGAAUGGGUCUCAAUUGGACUUUCUCUUACAUAUUGCCAGGGGCGUAGAAUGAGCCUCGACCUGGACUUCCAUAUCCGUUAUAACAUAUCAUAACAUACUCGAGGGCUAGUGGGUCAUCCAACAUCCGUCCACAACAACAAUAAACUAUGCAAUACAUCAUAUUCAUGAAUUUUAAUGCAUGGCAACCUAAAAUAUAUAUAAAUUGCAUUCGUGAAGCAUGAGCAUGCUUAAAACAUUUGGUUUCUUUAAAAUAAUAGUUCAGUUUGGUUAUACUCACCUCUGGCUGAUGCAAGCCUAAAGUGACUGUCUCACUACUGACCUCUAUGGUCUCUCAAGUCUAAUCCUAUAUAGAUGAACUUAAAUGAGGGAUUAAACAUAACUUUUACAACUCCACAAACUACUCCAAUAAACUCCUAAAAACAUAUAAGACUCAAGUAGAAGACAAGCUGAAAAAAGGGCUGAAUAGGAGACUUUCGGUAGCAGGUUUGAUGGCCUAAAAUUCUCUUAUAAAUUCAAAGGUCAAACCUUUAGAGGCAGAUUAGGCGACCAAAAGGUUGCCUCCAUAAGCAGGUUCGGCUGUCGAACCUGGGUUCUUCUGCAAGGCAACAGCAACAAAAAACAACUCAAUACACUAGAACCACUUAAAACUAACCUAAACUUAAGCAUGCCUUCCCUAAAACAUCAAAACAAGGAAACUCAUCCAACACCCUUAAGAUUUUUUUAAAAUAAAAAACUCAACCCUUGCAUGAAAAGAAAACGCUAAAACAACUUUUAAACUUCUCAAAACUGAAAGGAGUUUGAGGGUUCAACUCACCUCUUUGGAGAAAGCACAAUGCUGCACAAAGGAGGUUGUGAAGGAGAGAGGGAUGAGCUUCAGAGAUCCCGAAGGCUAAAACUUCAAAAACAAGGCUCGAUUCUUCAAAAUAGGAGGUAGAACUCAUGAAUUUUCUAGGAGAUAUGAAAAAAACUUUAGAAAAAUCAUCAAGGGAUCAUAAGGUUACCUUUGCCCGGAAGAAGAGAGAAGAAUUUCUCUCAAAAUCGAGUUGAGACCCUUUUAUAGUUGGGUCUGCCAACUAAUGUUUGAUGGCCGAACAUGAAAGGUUCAGUGGCCGAAACUUGAUAACAUGAAAACCAUUUUUUUUAAAAAAAGUUAUAAAAUGCUUUAAAUUCAUUUUAUAAAAAUCAUAUUUUGCCCUUAUAAAGAUUUCAAUUUUGAGAUUUCGGAUUCCAACGGAGAUUCUGUCAGAAAAUUGAAAUUUUGACCCUAGAGUUUAGCUGGGUAUUACAAGCACAACUUUUUUUCAGCCACAUCAUUUGGUUCCAUUGUCGAGAAACCCAUUAAAUUUUCUCUAUUUAUUUGGAUUAAAAUCGGUCUCUUAUUCUCUUUCUCUUAAAAAAAUCUUUUUUUUCUUCCUUUAUUGAAAUGGUUGACAAUUCACGAGUUACUGCUAAGGCUGCUACCAACAAGGGCAUAAUCUUUCCCUUCCUUCCUGGUAGUGAGCCUAUAAUGGUUGCACAUGUAAUAGCGGGGGACCCAAUGAUGGCAAGGAAAAAAACAAGCAGAUCGUAGAAGACAUCCUAUCAAUAGAGCAUGAACCAUGGGCCAAGCAGAAAAGUAAAGUUCAGACUUACAGGCCAGGUGACAAGCUUCUUUCAAAAUGACUCGCUGGUUAUCAACAUCCGUUUGAACAGGUAUGAGGUGAGGCGAGUUUUGGAGGACACAAAAAGUUCUAUUAAUAUCCUCACCUUAGAUGUUUUUAAUAAGCUAAGCUUAGAUAAAAACAAUCUUGUCAAGGUCUCCUAUCUGUUAAUAGGGUUAGGAGACAAAGUCGUGACAGUACUAGGUAUCAUCAACCUCCCCCUUGAGCUGGGUGAUGAAAAGCACAAGUGAGAGUUGUAUCCGGAGUUUGUGAUAGUACAUAUCUCGCUUGCAUACAAUGUGGUAUUAGGUUGCCCAAUCAUAAACUGUCACGGUAUAGUUAUUAACAUAGGUGCUAUGUGUCUUAAGCUACUAACUCCAAGAGGAUUGGUUGUCGUUCGAGGUAACCAGAAAUCAACCCAGGAAUGCUAUAGGCAUUCCACAAAAAGUCUCAGAAAAGCGACGAUACUCAUUGAUUUGAUGAAAAAACCUAGAUUCUCAUAUAAAACCAAAAUCAGCAAACCUAGUGAAAGAGGUCCAAUUAAGUAUAGACAUAAUGGUACGAUUUGGGACCAUGUUAAAAGGUGAGAUAAAAAAUUGCUUAAUAGAAUUACUAAAAUGCAGAGUGACCACCUUUGUUUAGUCUCCAAAAGAUAUAAUAGGUGUGGACUCAGUCAAUAUCACCCACAAGUUAUUUGUCAAUAAAACAAUAAAAUCGGUAUAAUAGAAGAAAAGAAAAUUUAUGGCGAAGAAGCAGUAGGUGAUUAAGGAGGAGGUUAAUAAAUUAUUAAGUGCAAGUUUAAUAAAAGAAGUUUAGUAUCUUACAUGGAUCGCCAAUAUAGUACUGGUGAAGAAAGUAAAUGGGAAAUGAAGGAUGCGCAUAGAUUUCACAGACUUGACUAAAGCAUGCCUAAAGGAUCAUUAUCUGCUCCUGUCUAUUAACAGGUUAGUAGAUUCUACCUCAGGUCAUGCGGUAAUUUCUUUUCUGGAUGCGAUUUCAGGUUACCACCAGAUUAUAAUGGACACCGGAGAUGCAGAGAAGAUUGUUUUAUCACUGAUGUCAGAGUCUUCUGUUACAAGGUGAUGUCGUUUGGACUAAAAAAUACAGGGGCAACUUACCAAGGGCUAGUUUCGGCCAUCUUUAAAGACAUGAUAGGGUUAACGGUCGAAGUAUAUGUGGAUAAUAUGGUGGUAAAGAGUCGAUCCUAAGAAGAUCAUCUAGAGGACAUCCAGAAGGUUUACAACGUACUGACAAGGCAAGUAUGAAACUUAACCGUGGAAAGUGCACUUUUGGGGUAAAAGCGGGGAAACUUUUAGGGUACAUAAUCUCAGAGAGAGGUAUAGAAGCAAGCCCAGAAAAAAUUAGUGUCAUUUCAAAAUAUGGAGGCACCUAAAACCAUUAAUGAUAUAUAGAAGUUGAAUGGGUAAGUCACAGCUCUUGGCCGAUAUAUAUCAUGCUCGAUCAGGAGGUGCCUCCCGUUCUUAAAAUUCUUAAAAGCCAAAACUAACUUUUUUGGAGAGAAGAAUGCUUAGAGGCUUUUGAAAAUUUAAAAAUCUUUUUAUAAUCUCCCCCUUUGCUAAGCUCACCCGUCGAAGGCGAGAUUUUAUUUCUAUACUUGUCUAUGAUGUAGAAAACUGUAAAUUCAAUGCUCAUUCAUGAGAAUAAUGAGGAACAAAGCCUAGUUUACUACGCCAGCCAAGUCUUGAAGGGGGAAAAGUUGAACUAUCCUUCUUUUGAGAAGUUAGCACUGGUAGUCUUGAUGUUUACCAUAAAGUUACGUUUAUACUUCGAGUCACACAUCAUAGAAGUCAGAACGGAUUAUCCUUUGCAAAAGGUUUUACAUAGGUUAGAGCUUUCAGAGCAGUUGUAAUAUUGUCAGCCUUAAUAUCAAGUAUGUCCCAAGAAAGAUCAUGACAGCCUAGGCAGUAGCCAAUUUUAUUGCAUAAAUGACUAUGCCAUUAGAGACUUUAGAAUUACCUGGAUCAAUCAUUGAGAAGUGGAAGGUUUGGGCGGAUGGAGCUUGCAGAGCUAGGGGGUUAUGGAAUUGGAAUCCUUUUGCAGAUUCAAACCAGGAUAAAGCUUUGUUACUCUAUAAAAAUCUCUUCAACACUACCAACAACGCAGCCGAGUACAAGGCUGUGAUUGUGACCUUAAAAAUCAUCAAGAAAAUAGUCAUACAGAAAUCUACUAUUUUUAGUUACUCACAGUUGGUUGUUAAUCAAUGUCAGGGAUAGUUUAAAAUUCAAAAAUUGAACCUUGUCAAAUAUGAAGAAAAUGUUUGCUCUUUAAUAGAGAGGAUCAAAGAUAGGCAAGGCAACUGCGAGCUUCACUAGGUAGCCAGAGGUGAUAACGAGGAGGUAGAUUUUUGGGCCAAGAUAGUGAUGACAGGUGAAUAGUACUUGACUCAAUCAUUUCAAUUCAAAAAUAUAAUACCCGGCUAGAUUCCGGCAUCGGAAUCCCUACCUUCUGGCGAAAUCUCCGUUGGAAUCUGGAACUUCUGAAGAUGCCAGAGUCUACUAGAGGGGUAAAAUGUAUUUCUAAAAUGUUUUCACAUGAUUUUAUGGUUUUAAAUGGAAAAGAAAUGGAGUUUUGAAAAGAAAAUGCCAAGGAGGAAGGACCCAGGUUCGGCCGCUGAACCUCAAGUUCGGCCGCCGAACAUAGGGCUGUUUCGGGAGUGCUUUAGGCUUCCAAAAGCUUUGAGGGCAGAAACCAGGUUCGGCCGCCGAAUCUCAAGUUCGGCCGCCGAAUCUAAAGUUCGGCCACCGAACAUGCAUGAGUUUAGGAGGCACAUUAGGCUGCCGAAGGUGCUUCAGCAGGCCACCUAUAAAAGGCCCUCAGACAAAAAAUGGGCGAGUUUUCUCCCCAUUCUCGAGCUCAGAUGAGUUCUUGCCUCCUUUGGUUGAUUUCAUGUCUUUCCUUCAAUCUUAUAAGGUUUUUAUAAGUUUUAUGGUUGUUUUGAAGAGUUUUAAAGCUUAGAUCAAAGUUUUGGAGCUUGGAGAUCUUUGGAGCUUGGAGAUCUUUGGAGCUUGGAUUCUCCAUAUCUUCAAGUAGGGAUCGCACCAACCCUCGAUCUUCAAGAGGUAAGUGUAGAUCUUUGCUUCCUUUACGUUUUAAUGAAGUUUUAAGUAAGUUAAAGAAGUUUAAUGGUUGAGUAUGGGUAGAUAUGCAUGUUAGGGUUUAUGUGGGUUUUAUUCCCAAUGUAUGUUUAUGUGAUGUUUGUGUUGGGGUUUAAGUUAGUUUAUGCCCCUUUAUGCAUGUGGGAGUGUGUUUGCAUGUUUGGGUGAGAGCAUGUGAGGUUUUGGGUGGUUUGGAGGUUGGUUUUGCUUGUGACAGAUUCGGACCUACUGUUCAGAGGGGACCAGGUUCGGCCGCCGAAGGUACGUUCUGCCGCCGAACCCUGCAUGGAAGGCAGCUUUGGCCGCCUAAUGUGCCCCCGAAGGCUAGGACUUUCGGAUCUGUGAGAGGCUUCGGCCACCGAACCUGCCGCCGAAGGUGCCAGACUUUCGGCUCUGGAAGGACUUUCGACCACCGAAAGUGCCCUCGAACCUGCAUGGCUUUCGGCUCUGGAAGAGACUUUCGGCUGCCGAAGGUGCCGCCGAAGGUGCCGCCGAAAGUGCUCUGUCCAGCCCUUUCAUGGUUAUUUUCUAUGCAUGUUUUGAGGAUGUUUUAGGGGAUUUUUGGGGAGUUGUUUAUGAGUUGUUUAGAGUGUGUUUGGCACCUCAUUUGAGUCCACCUGUGUAGGAUUGGACCCGAGGGACCGAGGAGGCCAGCAGUGUUAGCUGUUGCAGAGUCAGUCCAGCGUCUGCCAGAGGUGAGUAGAACUUAACCUUAUGUUUUUAAAGUAAAUCAAAUGCCUAAAGCAUGUUCAUGCAUCAUGUUUUUAUGUAAUAGGUUGAUUGUACUAGUUUCACGAAUAUGACGCAUUGUAUUAUUUACUGUUGAUGUGGAUGGACCAAGGCGACUUCAAUAGCCCAUAGAUCUGUCAUGAUUGAAAGUCCUGUGUGAGCUCCUUUAGGGGGGUAGGGCACUAUGUUGGGUAAGUCCUGUGUGAGCCCUUUUAGGGUCGGGCACCAUGUUAUGUGAUUGAAAGUCCUGUGUGAGCUCCUUUAGGGGCCGGGCACCGACAGAGGGAGUUUUGAGGUCAUGUCCAAUCCAUGAUGUGAAUUGUUUGUGCUAUGACGCAUUUCAUGAAAGCAUGUAAUUAAUGAACUGUUUUUAUUGUUUCUACUCACUGGGCUUUUUAGCUCAUCCCUCUCCCCUAAUCCCAGGUUUGCAGGUCAGAGGUAGUCCAGGAAGACGUCAAGGGUAAAGGUUUUGGCUAUGUAAUAGAGUAGUGGACAUGAUGUAGAUUAAAUGAAUGUUAUGUGAUGUAAUAGAUUGUAAGAUAAUAUGUUUAUGGAUUAGUUUUGUGCUUGGCCCUAAGGCUUGGUUAGUCCCUUUUUAGUACAUGAUGUAUGUAAUAGGGCUGAGCAGAAUCCGGUUCAAACCGAAAAAACCGACCGAACCGAAUCGAUUUGAAAAUUUGGUUCGGUUUUUUAUAUAUUUCGGUUCGGUUCGGUUUUAAAUUUCAGAAAUUUUGGUUAUUUCGGUUCGGUUCGGUUUUGAUCAGAAAAAAACCGAAAAAACCGAACCGAACCGAUUAGGGAUAAUAAUAUGUUUUUUCAAAAAUAUAGAGAAAUUAAAUUAUAUUAAAAUUAAAAUAUUUUAAUUAAAUUUUAAAAUACUAAAAAUAAAGUGUAAAAAAUUAAAAAAAUAUUAAAAAUCGAAACCGAUCAAACCGAACCGAAUCGAAUCGAAUCAGACCGGUUCGGUUCGAUUCGGUUUCUGACCAAAAUCGGUUCGGUUCGGUUUUCAUAAAAACUAAAAUUUCGGUUUUCGGUUUAUUCGGUUCGGUUCGGUUUUGAACCGAACCGACCGAAUGCUCACCCCUAGUAUGUAAUGUUUUAAUGUUGAGUUGAGUUUGAACCAAACUGGUGGCAUGUGUUGUUUACCACGCUAGAGCAUUUGAUGAGGACCCUAGUGGAGGUCUUAUGCUUAUGGUUUCAAUGCAUGCACAGGUUAGGUUUUGGUUCAUCGGAUGUGAUCCAAGCUUAAUGUAUGUUAUGUUGACCCAGCUAGAGCAUUUGAUGAGGGCUCUAGUAUGGGGUUCUUUAUGUUUUCAGAGAGGUAGCAUACAGGUCAAGCUCGGAUUUACAUCAGAUGUUUAAGUUUUUGUGUUAAUGUUUUGAUCAUGUAUGGGAUUUGACCAGGUGACAGGAUGUCUGUUAGGCUUGCUACGGGUCCCGGUGGCCUUAUGCCGAUCUGGAUCCUAGCGCCAGUAGCGGUCCGAUUUCCGGGUCGUUACAGAGUGGUAUCAGAGCCCUAGGUUCAAAUGAUCAGACCGAUAGGGUAUAGAGAGCCCUAGGUUCAUAUGAUCGGACCUAUAGAGUGUUGUCGGGCUCAUAGAGGUUAUUGAAGGGCAAGCACAAUAGGCAAAAUCAUGUCCACUAGGAUAGGAUGUGGAGUCCUGUCUUGAUUGAUGAUGUGAAAUGCCAUGAUUUUAUGCAUGUGCAUUAAUGUUAUGCUAUGUAUGCUAUGUAUGUUGCAGGUUCAUGUGUUUCCACAUGAACCGUAUGAUGCUAAUGAUUGUUUGUAUGCUUGUGUGUUGUUCUUCAGAGGAGCUAGGAUGCGUGGUACUCGUCGAUCUGUGGAAUCGACUGGAGUUCCGUUUGUGAGGGAAGGUAUGGACACCUUUCCCCCUGUUCUGCCAAGAGCGCAGUCGUGGGGAGUCAGCAGAUGGGGAACAUCAAGGGACCCUGGAAGGUCUUUUGAUUUAAGCAGAGAAGGAAUGGCUCCAAGAAGGAUGUCAAGAAGGAUGUCAGCUAGUAUGAGGGAAGUAGAGAUAGAUGUUCAGAGAAGAGAUAUCAGUUUGGGAAUCAGAGUGCCAGAAGAAGGUAUGGGAGAUUCUCAGGAGGAUGCUCAGACUCAGGAUUCCAGAAUCUCGGGUUCAGGAGGAAUGGAUCCCUCCACUUUGAGUACAGCCUCCACGAAAAGUAAAAAGUGGGGGAACACCAUGAAAAAGUGGGGCAGAGGCCUCAGAAGGUCGAAGAAGAAGUUUUGGAAGAAUCUGAAGGCUAGUCUGGGAUUAGGUGGUGGUUUAAGCUCAGGCUCAGGCAGUUCAAGAUGCUUGAGGUGUGGAAGGCCGCACAAGGGAGUCUGUCUGGCAGGGACAACAGCAUGUUUCAGGUGUGGUCAUGAAGGGCACAUGGUUCGUGAGUGUCCCACUGCGCCCUGGUGGAUACAGUCCCAGCGGGCAACUUCUGGUAGAGCGGCUCAGCCAACAGCUCCAGCCAUGGCUCAGGUCAGUGGUCGAGGCAGAGGGAGAGGGUCACCUUUUCUUCUGAAGGUUCCUGCGGAGAAGGUCCGUCAGCUCUAGCUCGGAUCUUCACCCAAGCUCAGCAGGAGGCAAACACAUCAAACAUGGUGGUGUCAGGUACGCUCACUUUCAAAUGUUCUGAUGUGUAUGUUUUGUGAACCCUGGUAUUUCUUUUUCUUUAGUUGCUCUAGGAGCCGUCGAGGGGUUGAGUUGAUAACUUUUGGGCUAGAGUGUCCUCUUUGGGUCAGUGAACCCAAGUGUGAUCCAUCUGUGGCAGAGUCAGUCUGUCGGUUCAGUUUAAUGUCAGUUGAGGAUAGAUGUCGUCCACCCGACCUUGAGGUCUUAGACUUGACUGUCUGGACGUCAUUCUAGGGAUGGAUUGGGUUUUUCAUCUCGUGGUACUGCCGGGUCUGUAGAGACAAGGUAGUCAAGUUCAGAGGACAGGAUGAGUCAGAGGUAGUCUGUUGAGGGGACAGUGUAGGGAUGCCUAGAGGUUUGAUAUCAGCCUGUCAGGUUCAUAGGGUGCGUAGGAGGGGUUGUUAGAAGGUUCGAGUUCUUGUUGAGAGUUUAGCAGUCAGGUCGGGGAACCAGCCUCAGUUUAGAGAGAGUUCUUAGAUGUCUUCCCAGACGUGUUGUCAGGUUUACCACCUGCUAGGGAGAUAGAGUUUGGACAUAGAAGUGAUGUCAGAAAUCCGGUUCACCUCUAUUCUUCCUUAUAGGAUGGCACCUGCAGAGUGAAGAAGUUGAAGGAGCAGUUGCAAGAGCUUGGUAGAAAAGGGGUUUUAUCCGACCUAGUACCUCACCCUGGAUUGCUCCAGUGUUGUUGUGGGAAAAGCAGGAUGGAUCCUUGAGACCCUGUGUCAACUUCAGGCAGUUGAACAAGGUCGCUACCAAGAACAGGUAUUCCCUACCUGUUGAAGGUUAGAGAAGAAGUCAGUUCAGUAGAGAAGAAGUGAGAAGAGAAAGGAUCAGAGUGCGCAGCGGAAGUUUGUGGAGUUUCAGGAGGAGGUUGGGGUAUUGCUAAGGUGUCUCCACUAAAGAGGUGAUUCGUUGUGGGUCGAAGGGUAAAGUAGCUCCAAGAUACAUCGGACCCUUUGAAGUCUUGCAAAGGAUUGGGGAUGUAUCAUAUAAGCUCGAUUUACCUGCUUCGAUAGAGAAAGUCCAUUCGGGUUUCUAUGUUCCUGUGUUAUGGCAGUUCGUGUCGGAUCCAAGUGAGGUACUUAAAGAACCAGAGGUGGAGAUCUCGGGGGGUCUCACCUAUUUUGAGCAGCUAGUGCGGAUCAUAGACACACAAGGUAGGUAGCUAAGGAAUAAGGAAUCCCAAUGGUGAAAGUUCUUUGGAAUCACCACAGAAUGGAAGAGCGCGCCUGGGAGACCCGGGAGUUUAUACUCCAGCAGUACCUGUGUUUCUCUUUUAGGAGAGAGGUUUUAGGUUUUGCUUGCUUGUUUGCUUGCUUGUUUUAUGUAUGCUUGAUGCUAUGAUUUGAGAAUACCUGUUUGUUUGAACAUUCGGGGACGAAUGUUCUUAAAGGGGAAGAAUGUAAUACCCGGCUAGAUUCCGGCAUCGGAAUCCCUACCUUUCGGCGGAAUCUCCGUUGGAAUCUGGAACUUCUGAAGAUGCCAGAGUCUUCUAGAGGGGUAAAAUGUAUUUCUAAAAUGUUUUCACAUGAUUUUAUGGUUUUAAAUGGAAAAGAAAUGGAGUUUUGAAAAGAAAAGGCCAAGGAGGAAGGACCCAGGUUCGGCCGCCGAACAUAGGGCUGUUUCGGGAGUGCUUUAGGCUUCCGAAAGCUUUGAGGGCAGAAACCAAGUUCAGCCGCCGAAUCUCAAGUUCGGCCGCCGAACAUGCAUGAGUUUAGGAGGCACGUUAGGCUGCCGAAGGUGGUUCAGCAGGCCACCUAUAAAAGGCCCUCAGACCAAAAAUGGGCGAGUUUUCUCCCCAUUCUCGAGCUCAGGUGAGUUCUUGCCUCCUUUGGUUGAUUUCAUGUCUUUCCUUCAAUCUUCUAAGGUUUUUAUAAGUUUUAUGGUUGUUUUGAAGAGUUUUAAAGUUUAGAUCAAAGUUUUGGAGCUUGGAGAUCUUUGGAGCUUGGAUUCUCCAUAUCUUCAAGUAGGGAUCGCACAAACCCUCGAUCUUCAAGAGGUAAGUGUAGAUAUUUGCUUCCUUUACGUUUUAAUGAAGUUUUAAGUAAGUUAAAGAAGUUUAAUGGUUGAGUAUGGGUAGAUAUGCAUGUUAGGGUUUAUGUGGGUUUUAUUCCCAAUGUAUGUUUAUGUGAUGUUUGUGUUGGGGUUUAAGUUAGUUUGUGCCCCUUUAUGCAUGUGGGAGUGUGUUUGCAUGUUUAGGUGAGAGCAUGUGAGGUUUUGGGUGGUUUGGAGGUUGGUUUUGCUUGUGACAGAUUCGGACCUGCUGUUCAGAGGGGACCAGGUUCGGCCGCCGAAGGUACGUUCGGCCGCCGAACCCUGCAUGGAAGGCAGCUUUGGCCGCCUAACGUGCCCCCGAAGGCUAGGACUUUCGGAUCUGUGAGAGGCUUCGGCCGCCGAACCAGCCGCCAAAGGUGCCAGACUUUCGGCUCUGGAAGGACUUUCGGCCGCCGAAAGUGCCCUCGAACCUGCAUGGCUUUCGGCUCUGGAAGAGACUUUUGGCCGCCGAAGGUGCCGCCGAAAGUGCUCUGUCCAGCCCUUUCAUGGUUAUUUUCUAUGCAUGUUUUGACGAUGUUUUAGGGGGUUUUUGGGGAGUUGUUUAGAGUGUGUUUGGCACCUCAUUCGAGUCCACCUGUGUAGGAUUGGACCAGAGGGACCGAGGAGGCCAGCAGUGUUAGCUGUUGCAGAGUCAGUCCAGCGUCUGCCAGAGGUGAGUAGAACUUAACCUUAUGUUUUUAAAGUAAAUCAAAUGCCUAAAGCAUGUUCAUGCAUCAUGUUUUUAUGUAAUAGGUUGAUUGCACUAGUUUCACAAAUAUGACGCAUUGCAUUAUUUACUGUUGAUAUGGAUGGACCAAGGCGACUUCAAUAGCCCAUAGAUCUGUCAUGAUUGAAAGUCCUGUGUGAGCUCCUUUAGGGGGGCCGGGCACUAUGUUGGGUAAGUCCUGUGUGAGCCCUUUUAGGGUCGGGCACCAUGUUAUGUGACUGAAAGUCCUGUGUGAGCUCCUUUGGGGGCCGGGCACCGACAGAGGGAGUUUUGAGGUCAUGUCCAAUCCGUGAUGUGAAUUAUUUGUGCUGUGACGCAUUUCAUGAAAGCAUGUGAUUAAUGAACUGUUUUUAUUGUUUCUACUCACUGGGCUUUUUAGCUCAUCCCUCUCCCCUAAUCCCAGGUUUGCAGGUUAGAGGUAGUCCAGGAAGACGUCAAGGGUAAAGGUUUUGGCUAUGUAAUAGAGUAGUGGACAUGAUGUAGAUUAAAGGAAUGUUAUGUGAUGUAAUAGAUUGUAAGAUAAUAUGUUUAUGGAUUAAUUUUGUGCUUGGCCCUAAGGCUUGGUUAGUCCCUUUUUAGUACAUGAUGUAUGUAAUGUUUUAAUGUUGAGUUGAGUUUGAACCAAACUGGUGGCAUGUGUUGUUUACCACGCUAGAGCAUUUGAUGAGGACCCUAGUGGAGGUCUUAUGCUUAUGGUUUCAAUGCAUGCACAGGUUAGGUUUUGGUUCAUCGAAUGUGAUCCAAGCUUGAUGUAUGUUAUGUUGACCCAGCUAGAGCAUUUGAUGAGGGCUCUAGUAUGGGGUUCUUUAUGUUUUCAGAGAGGUAGCAUACAGGUCAAGCUCGGAUUUACAUCAGAUGUUUAUGUUUUUGUGUUAAUGUUUUGAUCAUGUAUGGGAUUUGACUAGGUGACAGGAUGUAUGUUAGGCUUACUACGGGUCUCGGCGGCCUUAUGCCGAUCUGGAUCCUAGCGCCGGUAGCGGUCCGGUUUCCGAGUCGUUACAAAAAAGCUGCGUACUCCUGCGAUUGACGAAGAAGAGUCUUUUCCUAUAAAAGAAGAAGGAUCAUGGAUGACACCUAUGUAUAAAUUUUUAACACUGGAUAAUCUACCAGUCAAUGAAUUAUUGGCUAAAUAGGUAAUAAAGAAAUCCUCUAAAUAUACACUAAUUAACGGCUAGUUGUAUAGGAGGUCCUCAACUCAACCACGGUUCUAUUGCAUAAUGGAAGAGGAGGGCCAGAAAAUUCUAAAGGACAUCUAUGAAGGCGAUUACAGGAGUCCUGAAAGAGCUCGGAUGAUCGCCCAAAAAGCAUUCAGACAAGGAUACUACUGGUCUUUAAUAAUGCAAGAUGCAAAGCAACUUGUCUAAAAAUAUCGGAGAUGUCAAGUGCAUGCGAACAUUUCGAUAGGAGAGAUGCAAGCAACAAUUGGAAACCCCUGGUCUUUUUUUCAAUGGGGUUGAACAUCUUUGGCCCGUUUCCAAAAGCAAUCGGGUCAAGGAAGUUUGUGAUAGUAGCUUUCAGUGGGGAGGCUAAACAUCCUUGGCCCGUUUCUAAAAGCAACCGGGUCAAGGAAGUUUAUGAUAGUAGCAGUGGAUCAUUUUAGUAAGUGGACAAAGACUGAGGCAGUUCAGUCUAUCACUACCCAAUAAGUGAUGUCUUUUGUCAACAAGAACAUCUUCACUCGAUUUGGAAUUUCAAAGGUAAUAACCAUAAUGGCGGUUUAUAGAAACAACAGGUCUAGAAUAUUUAACAGUAGAGUCAAGUUACGUUUCUUUAAUAUAUGGGCCUUAAUCUUUAAAAGAAUAGAUAUAACAGGUGGUAAUGCCAAGUCUGUAAGUUGGACGAAAACUGGAAAGCAUCAUUUAGAGUUUCGAAGGUUAUUCGUCUAGGGUCUUAUAAGUUGGCCAAAUUAGAUGGCCGAGUCAUUCUCCACUCCUGAAAUAUUUGUAUUAUGAGAAAAUUUUAUCAAUAACAGUUAACUAUAUAUCUUUUUCAUGUGUUGCGUUCUUCAGUGACAAGAAACGAUGGAUUGUCUUCUUAAAAAAUAUUAAGAAAACAUUCAUUAAAGGCCACAAGGCAUGUUCCGCUAAACCAUAAUCCGAGUGUUAGUCCCAUUAAGUAAGGCAUUCUAUGUCAAGGCCACAAGGCGGGUUCUGCCAGGCCAUAAUCCCGGUGUUAGUCCCGCUAAACAAGGUAUUUUAUGUCAAGGCCACAGGGCGGAUUCCGUCAGGGCAUAAUCUAGGUAUUAGUCCUGUUAAACAAGGCAUCCUAUACUAAGGCCACAAGGCAAGUUUCACCAGACUAUAAUUUGAGUGUUAGUCCCACUAAAUAAGGCAUUCUAUACUAAGGCCGCAAGGCGGGUUCUGCCAGGCCAUAAUCCAAGUGUUAGUCCCGCUAAAUAAGAUAUUUUAUGCCAAGGCCACAAAGUGAGUUUCGCGAGGCCAUAAUCUGGGUUUUAGUCCAAGUAAACAAGACUUCUAUGCCAAGGCCACAAGGCAGAUUCCCCCAGGCCAUAACAAGGCAUUUUAUGCCAAGGCCAGAAGACAGGUUCUGCCAGGCCAUAAUUCGGGUGUUAGUCCCGCUAAACAAGACAUUCUAUGCCAAGGCUACAAGAUAGGUUCCGCCAGACUAUAAUCCGAGUGUUAGUUCCGCUAAAUAAGGCAUUCUAUGCCAAGGCCACAAGGCGGGCUCUGCUAGGCCAUAAUUUGAGUGUUAGUCCUGCUAACCAAGGCAUUCUAUACUAGACCACAAGGCGGAUAUCCAUCAGGCCAGGAUCCGGGUGUUAGUCCCGCUAAUUGAGACAUUCUAUACUAAAGCCACAAGGCAGUGACCACCAAGCGAGUUUUUGGGUAUUAUCCCCAACACACAAAAGAGAAGUUUCUGCCAAAAUCGCCACAAGGCAGGUAUUUGCUAGGUGAGUCUUCAGAUUUUAGUCCCAAAGACAAGUUUUCUACCAAGAAGCGCAAUGAGGCAGGAAACUGCCAAGCACAUGUCCAGGUGUCAGUCUCGAUUAAUAAAGAUUACAAAAGCAUUUCAUGCUUAGGCCACAAGGCGAGUAUCCACAAAGCUAACGACUAGGGUCAGCCUCAAUUAAUAAAAUCUUUAAACCGUUAUCAUGAUCGAGUGAUAAGUUUGGUCUAUUAUUUUCAAGAUAUUUAUUCCAUAGCCACGAGGCGAGUAUCCGCUAGAUGAAUCACAAGGCGGAUGUUAAGUCCUAUUAAAAAGCUUAAGUUAUUUUAUGGGCAGGAGCAAGCAUAGCAACACGAGGCCAAUCUAAACAUGCCACGUGUCCCAAAUCGUGAGGAUAAUUGUCACCUUUGUGUAACGACCCGAAAAUCGGACCGCUACCGGCGCUAGGAUCCAGAUCGGCUUAAGGCCGCCGGGACCCGUAGCAAGCCUGACAUGUAACCUGUAAACCUGUUUAAUCCCAUACAUGAUCAACAACAUACAUAAAAAUUUAAAACUUUUCUUUCAUACAUUCUAUCAUACACCAAACUCAACCUGUGCAUGCACUGAACAUAGUCAUAAUCAUAAACUUGACCCCUCUGUGGGAUCUCAUCAAUGCCCCCAAUGGGUGGCAUAACAUGUGUUGAGUUGGUUUACAUCUACAUCAUCAAACAUCUAAGAUCAUGUAAUAAAAGGGAUAACAACAUCCAUAGGGUCAAGCACAACUUCUAAUCCUCAAUAUCAUUAUACAUAACAUGACUAUUCAAACUUUACAUCAUCUUACAAUUUAUCAUGUCCACUUUCUAUCUAUUACAAACAUAUGACUUUACUCUUCUUGACUUCUCUGUCUAGCCCAUACCUGCAAUCCUGGGGGAUUAGGGAGAAGGGGUGAGCUACUAGAGCCCAGUGAGCAGAAUAAUAGAAAACAACAUUUAAAAUCUCAUGCCAUCAUGUAAUGCAACACAUCACAACAAAUCACAUCUCGAAUGGUAUUGUCACCAAUAGUCCUCUAUAUUCCAAAGUGCCGGGACGUAGAAUGGGUACAACCGGUCUUUCUCUUAAUAUAACAUAUCAUAACAUUCCAAUGUGCCAGGGACGUAGAAUGGGUACAACCUGGACUUUCUCUUACAUAGUGCCAGGGACGUAGAAUGGGUACAACCUGGACUUCCAUACUAUACCAUGCCAUAACAUCAUCAUAUCAUAUGAGGACUAAAGGGUCAUCCAAUAACCAAUCCACAUCAACAUCAUAAAUGCAAUGCAACAUAUUCGUGAAUUCUAAUGCAAACAACCUAUUUCAUCACAUGGCAUUCAUGAUGCAUGAACAUGUUGAAAACUUUAUAAUUUAUUUGCUUUAAAUCGUAAAGGUUUAUUCUACUCACCUCUUGGCUAGCUCUGACAAAGACUAAAGCAGCUGACUCACUGCUGGGGUCCUCGGUUCCUCGGGUCCGAACCUACACAGGUGGACUCAAAUGAGGGACCAAACAACUAGAACAUAACUCUAAAAACAUCCCCCAAAAACCCCCUAAAACACCUCAAAACAAUCAUGCAUGAAACAUGCAAAGGAAGGCUGAACAGGGCAGGUUCGGCGGCACCUUCGGCGGCCGAAAGUCCCAGACAGAGACGAAAGUCUCUUUUCGGGGGCAGGCUUCGGCAGCCGAAAGGCUUGCCUCCCCAGCCAUGUUCGGCGGCCGAAAGUCCUUCGGCUGCCGAACCUGGUUUCUGCCAAAGGGUAGAAACUUGGCUCCUCUUGCCUCCAAUGCCUCCCAAACCUUAUACACAUGCAUAAUCCUAUUCUACAACACCCAUACUCAAGCAUACAAGCUCCUAGGGGCUUCAAACCAACUAAAACCCCAUCUACAACACAUCAAACAACACAAAUCCAACAUACAUUUCCCAUAAUCCAACAAAAACCCAAAAACUUAUAAAACCCUACACAUGCAUUUCUACUUCAAGAAUCAACUUAAAACUUGUUAAAAACAUAUAGUGAGCUCAAGAUCGGCCCUUACCUCUUGAAGAUCGAGAGGAAAACGACCCUAGCUCGAAGAUGGGAGAGAUUUGAGUUCUUGGACCUCAAAGCUCCAAAACUUGCUUUAAACUCGAAAAUCUUCAAAACAAGAUGAAAACUCAUAAGAAAAACAUGAAAUCUCGAAGGGAGAAGCUCAAAACAGAGGAGGGGCGGUGGAGAACUCACCUUGGCCGAAAACGGAAAGAAAAGCUUGCCCGUUUCGGCCAUGGGGUCCUUAUAUAGGGCUGUCCUUACCACCUUUCGGCGGCCUAACGUGCCCCCACAGCGCAUGCAAGUUCAGCGGCCGAACCUUGGCUGAUUUAAACAAGGCUUUCGGAGGCCUAAAGCGCUCCCAAAACCUCCCCAUGUUCAGCGGCCGAACCUGACAAAGUCUCCAAAGCCCUCUACACUCAAAACUUGGAUUUAUUUUCAUUAAAAACCAUAAAAUACAUUAAAACAUUUUAUGAAAACAUGGUUUUACCCUUCUAGAGGUCUCCGACAUCCGAGAUUCCACCGGACGGUAGGAAUUCCGAUACCGGAGUCUAGCCGGGUAUUACACUUUGAAUAUGAAGAAUCGAAGACCAGUAGGGAGACUUCUGAUAUAGCAGAAUAAUCGCCCAAUGCAGGCCAUGUGCUAGUACUCGAAGAUAGGGUCACGUGGUAAGAGUCUGAUCAAAUGAUACUCGAUCCCCACCGACAGANNNNNNNNNNNNNNNNNNNNNNNNNNNNNNNNNNNNNNNNNNNNNNNNAAAAGACUCAUACAACACAAGUUUCAACUCUUCAUCUCAUCAAGACUCACCCUCUCAAUUACAUGGCGAGAUUUUAUGAGAAGUUAUUGUUAGCGAAUACAAUCCAGCAGACCUUCAUUACACUUAUAAUUACGGGAUUCCCUAUCCACUAGCUAGCACCCAUCGGAUUUUCAGGAGACGUGGUAAAUUAACUCCAAAAUAUAAAAGCAGAUGAAUACAAAUAUCAAGUUACGCAAUUUUUAUACAAUUAUUAUUAAGUUCAAAAUAUAAUGUUAUACACACCAUUUUUUUCAAUUUACUGAUUUGAGCGUCGAGACCUGUCGUAGACGCCAAUCAACUCAUAUUUCUUUUUUUUAUAAGUUGACCAAUCGCAGUACAGUUCUAUUUCAGUCACAUCAGUGUGUGGUUACAUUUCUUGAGGUAAUAUUACAUAAUUUAUAUAUUAAGGGAAAUUAGUAAGAACAGUUAUAUGUGAAUUUUAAUAAAUAUUUUCCCAGUUUUAUAAUUUUUAUUUAUUUUAUUUUUUUAUAUAUAUAUUAAAAAAUAUAAAUUUUUUAAUUAUACUCAUUUUAAAUAUAUUAAAUUUUAUUAAAAUAUUAAAAAUUAUUUUAAAAUUUUUUUUUAUAAAUAAAAUAAAAUUUAAUAUGAUUAUAAUACUCCAUUUAUAUAAUGAUUAUAAUGUAAAAAAAUAAAUAAUAAUUUUAAAAUAUUUUUAAAAAAUAUGAUAAAAAUUAUAAAACGACAGUAUAAUAUUACAUUUAUAAGAAACAAACAAAAAUUGAAUUAAAAACAUCAACUAACUAGUGGGAUUCAAUAUGCAUUGCAUAUUACCCAACUUUAAAUAAUAAAGAAGGAGGUGCAUUUAUAGCGAUAGCUCGGAAAUCGAAUGGUAUGAAUGUGAUGACUAAGAAGUCAAAGAAAGGACAUGUCAUUCCCCAAUCAUUGGCUGCCAAGUCAAACAAAUCCAGUCAUGUGUCCAUUCUCCUUGGAAGGCGCGUGCUCACUUUUGACACGCUUCCACUACCCGUCUCUCCCUCCAAUAAUAUUUAUUUAGACUAAAUUUAUAUAAAUUUAUAAUAUAAAUAUACAAAAUUUAUAUUAACUAUAUAUUUUUAUUUAUUUUUUUUAUCUCUUAAAUUUUAGAGAUUUGAGAUCCAAAUUUAAAAUUUUUAAGUGAAAAAAAAAAUUGUGUUAUUAUUUUACAAAAUUUUAAUUAUUCAAUAAUGAUCAUUAGUGGUUGCUUACGAUCACACAACUAUAGAAUUUUGAUAAAUUUUUAUUUGUAAAAAGGUAAUGGGAGAAAAUUUCAAUGAUUAGAUGUUAUUUCUGAAACAAUAGUAUUACGCAAUUGAUGAAAAAGAGAAGAUGAAGGAAUUGAAUUAGGGUUGUUUAUAAAUUUUUAUUAAUAAUAAAUUCCAUUAUAGAUUUUGGUCCUACCCAAAUUUUAAUGUCGGUUUGACCUUGAAAUUGAAUCGUGGCAUUUCUAAAACUAAUCAUAACUUUGCACAAAAAGAUGGACAUGCUAGAAAUUAAUUCUAUGAUGCCACUGUCACUUUCAUGACAUAAUAUUGAGUCGGCCUUUGAUUUAUGGGAAAAAAAGUAUUUUAAUUAAAAAAUUAAUUAUUGAAAAAAAAUUGUAAUUAAAAGAAAUUUAAAUAAUUUUUAAACAAUAAAAUAUUUUAUAAAAUUUUAAUAAUUUUAUUAAUAAUAUUAUUACAAUUAUUUAAAAAUAAAUUAUUAAUCAUCAACAUACAAUAAAAUAAUAAAAUUAUAAUAAGAAUUUGAAAUAUGUGAAUUUAUCCAUAUAAGUCCCUCAAUUUUUUAUUAAAUUUCGUCCUCUUUUAAAUAGGAUAAAACUUUAAAAAAAUUACUAUUAUCACAUACAAUCUAAUAUAUUAACAUUACACUGAUAAUCAUACGAUUUUACCGAUUGAUACCAAUAAAAUUUUUAAAAGAUUUUAUAAUUAAUUUUACUUUUUUAAAAUAUAAAAAUUAAUAUAUACAGAAAUUAAAAUAUAUAUUUUUAUACAUAUUUUAAAUUUUAAAUAAUUUAUUAUAUUUAUCUAUUCUAUCAGUUUACUUAUACGGCAGAGUAAUUAUUCACAGCCUUAAACCAUUUAACAUUUUUAUAUUUUUCUUUUUUUAAAUUAAUCAAUUUUUUUAAUAAUUUUAAAUUACAGUUAAAUUGUUUUCUUAAUAAAAUUAUUGCAUAAUUUUAUGAUUACUGUUAAGUUAAUGUGUGAAAAUUUUCAGCUUAAAAAAAAAAAAAAAAGAAAAAAACUCAAUCACUUGAACCAAACGCACCAUAAUAUAAAUGCAAAAAUAAAAAUAAAAAUAAAAAUAAAAAUAAAAAUAAAGCCUAUUAUUCUUUAUUCUGUUCUCUUUAUUUUACGUACGAAGCAAAUUUAACUUUUCUUAACUCUUUAGUCAAAUAUUUAUUAUUAAGCAAAUAUAACAAAAUUUUCUUUUUUUAGAAAAAAAUAAUUAAUAUUAUAGAAUUAUUAUUGGUUACUAUUGAUUAUUCUCAAUAUAGCCUCCACCGACUAUCUUUAAUUUGGAUAAGAAUAUUCUAUAUUCGUUUUUCUUAUGAUAUUUUUUUCCUAUAUAAUUAUUUAAUUAAGUGGAUAAAAUUCCCUUAAUUUUCAAAUAAAAUAUUUUUAUUUUUCAAGUGUCAAAUCUUAAUUUGAUGGUUUCAAUAUGAAUCAUACAAUUUUUUUAGGUAGGUAUAUUUUUCCUUAACUGUCUAAAUGUUAGUUGGAAAUUUAAUCUGCUAUUUUUAAAAUAAUUAAAAGAGAUUAUUCUUUUUUAGAAAAGUAGAAAAAAGAAGAAGCUGAAUCUUAUACUAAAAUUAACUGAUGUAAGUUGUAGUUAUCUUCAUUGUUUGGUUCCCAAGAAUCUUUAAAUUCUUCCUCAACCUAUCAAUAGAAAAUUGUAUCAAAGUGGAAAAUUUUUUUUAUUAAUUAUUCAUUUUAAUUUGUUAGUGAAAUUGUAAUACUGGGUUCUUUGAAUUAAAUUAAUAAAAUUAUAUAAUAGUCUAUUAAUCGAUUAUACUUUAAAUUUAAUAAAUUUUUUAAUAUUAUAAAAAUUAAAUAAUAAUUUUUUUUUUACUUCAGUAAUAAUUUUAUUUUUUUAAAAUAGUAAAGGGGAAAUGUCAGCCCAGUGAUGAUGGAGACAGUGAAGUGGAUGAUUAGGACUUCCAUGUGAAAUGGAAAAGAAAAUUGGAAAAGGAUUCUUGAAAUUGCACUUAUUUAUUUGUCAUUAACUAUUUAAAGGAAAAUAUUUUUUCAAAAAUAAAAUAAAAUUAGAAUAAGCAAAGUGCCAAAAAAAGUAUUAUUACUGCAAUCGCCAAGUGGCAACCAAAAUAAAAUAAACAGAAAGAUGUGAGUGGGGAUUUUCUGUUAAUUCUUUUAUUUAUAUAAAAUUAAAGAAAUACAUCAUUUAACAUUACGAAAAUAAAUAUAUAAUUAAACUUAUAGAAUUUUAACUCAUUAAUAUUAAAAUUAUCUAUAAAAUUGAGAAUUUAAAUUUUCAGUUGAAAUUAAUUAUAUUAAAAAUAAUAAUUUCUCUAGUUUUAAUUUUAUAUUUUAAUUUACUAAAUUUAAUAAAUAAUUUUAAUUAAGAUUUAGUAUUAUGACCACCGGAUCUUUUAUAUUUGGAGCAAGGUCAGACUCUGAUGAGAAAGGCGGGCUCAAAAUUUACUAGGCCCUCUUAAAAUAAAUCAGUCUAAAUAGCGCGUCUCAGUCCAGUUGGGAUCAAACUGGACAGAUCUCACACAUAGACUCUUUUGAAGAAAGUUCAGUAUGAUGAUGUGACCAAAGGAAGGAGAGUAUACUCAAUCGCUUUGCAACUCUGCCGGUAUGUGUAUCGAAAAAAAUUAAAUGGCCGUCUGGUAUGAAAAAUUUUUUUAACACAUUCAUAUGUAUAGAUCUGAAUGAUAGAGACAAAUGGUAUUAUACUAGAAAGACUGUUAGACGUUAUUAACAGAUAAAAUAAAAAGGAAGAAAUAUUUUAUUUUUUAUCUAAACUUACACCGAUCUCAUAACAUUAAGUAUAUAAAAUUAAUAUUUUAUCAAUAUAAAAAUAUGAAAAUAAAUUAUAAUAUUAUAAAACCUCAUACAAGUGUUCACUAAUUAAUAGUAAAAACUUAAAUGAUUUGAAGGCUGAACCUUAUACACAUACGUAUAUAAUUUAUAAAUUUAUACAAAAUUUUGUAUAAUUCAAAAAAAUUUAUAUACUAUUUAAUUAUUAGUCUUUUCAUUUAUAAUUUUAUUAUUAUUUAUUUAUUUAUUUGUUACGAUUAUUUGUGAACGAGAUUCUGUUUUAUUUUCGCUUAGGAGUGUCACUUUCAAUUAUUCCCAAAGAAUUGUUUGUUUUUGGAUUUUCUAAAUACCUUUUUGUCUCAAAUAAUUGUGGCUACAACUCAAAGAGUAAAUGCCAAAUUUCUUCCCCACUAUAUCUAAAUUAUUUAUAUUUUUUUAUGAAAAAAAUAAAAUAAAUUGAAUAAAAUAAGCUAAAUAUAUUAAUUUUAUUAUAAUUAUUGAUUAUAGUAAAUUUUAUAUAAUCGUUGUUACUUUUAUUUUGUUAAAUUUUUUAAUAAUUUUUUUAUAAUUCUUUUUAUUUUACUAAAAAUUAAGCUACAUGUAACCACAAAAAUUAAAAUUUAAUAGUAUCCAGAACCAUCAUUGUACCAAAAUGAAGAGAUGCUCAAAUUUUUGGUAGGUAUUUAGAUCCAUCAAGACAACUAUUGCUCGUGAAUUUGAUGCAAUGCCACUAUAUUCUCAUCAUUUUAGAAUACCAAGUUCUUCUUGCUCUCUUAUGAUUCCAUUUUGUCUCUUUCUACACCUUCAAACACGUGGGAAAAAAAUAUAAAAAGUAUCCCAUAAUUUUUUUUAUUUUUUAUUUUUAAAUUUACCAUUCAAUUUAUAUCAAAAUAGUACACAUGUUAUUAUAUCACAUCAGUAAUAAAAAAAAGAUAAUUUACCAUAAAUAAAUUGAAUUAUAAAUUUUGAAAUGAAAAUGAGUGAAUUAUAUUUUAAUUGUUAUAUCAAUCUUCUUUGAUAAUGUCAGAAAAUUGACAUUAUUUAUUAACGGUACGAUAAUUAUAAGUAUUGUUUUUAAUACAAAUUAAAUUAUUUUAAAAUAGAAAUUAUUAAAAUAAUAAUAUAUUUUUUAUAUAUUUAUAUAUUAUAUUAUAAAAAAAUAAGAGAAUAAAAGAAUUAGAGUGUUAAAUAUGAAAUUUCUCAAAUUUUAAAAAAAUAUACUAACGGUGGAGCUAAAUCCUUGAAUAUCCUUGUAAUUUAAGGCUGAAAAAGGUAUUUAAUGUGGUCACAAAAAUUCUUGUUAAUCAUUUAUUCUACACAUGGCCUGCUUAUAAACCUUUAAAGGAAAUUUUUAAAAAAAAAAAAAUUAUAUAAUUUUAGCAUCCGAAUUUUAAUGGAAAAUUUAAAGGAAGAACGCGUUUCGAUUUGUCAAUUUACAAUCGCGUUUCGAUUUGUCAAUCUACAAAAAAAGUAAGGCGAUUGAUGCUUACCGUAACUAUUCUAAUGUUCAAGUUAAUGAACUAAAAAAAAAAGCAGUGUAAUGAACUGUUUUGAACUCAAUAAUAGUUGUAUAAGAAUGUUUACUUUGAUCUAUGUAUUCAUUAGUUGUUAUACUAUAAAGUGAAGUUGGUUAUUAAAUUUCAUAAAAAUCUGAUUAGUAUCGGUUAAUAGAUAAGAGAUUUUGCGAUUAUAAGUAUAAUGGAAUUUGCUAGAUCGUGUUUUCUAAGGUAACUUUCUGCAAGGUCUCGUCCUGUAGUUGAGAAAACGAAAAGUCAACUCGUAAUUAUAAGUGUAAUGAAAAUCUAUUGCAUUAUAUUUCUGUAAAGUCUCGUCAUGAAAUUGAGAGAGCGAGUCUUGAUGAAUGGUCGAGACCUUUAACAUGCCGAUCUUCUUUUUUAUCGGCGGAAUCAAAUAUUAUUUGAUCAUAGUCACGUGACUCUACCUUUAAGUGUCAAUUAUAUAUAAAUUUGAAAGUAAGAGAUGAUUUUAUUAUUUAAAUUAAUUUAAAGAGUUAAUUAAGAGAAUCUUAAAAUUUAAAAUUUUUUAAAAUAAAAUAAGAUUAAAUUUUUAUAAUAUGGAUAUUAAAAUAUAAAUUUAUUAAUAUUUAAAAAGUUUAAAUUGGAUUAUAUUUUUCUUAUUUUUAUUCAAAUCUAUUAUAUUUUUAUUAAAAUUAAAUAAUUAGGAUAAAAAAUUACUUAUAUAUAUUUUAUUAGAGUUAUGUUAUUAAUUGUAAAAGGGAGUUUUGAAGAUUGAAGUUUUAUUUUGAUUAUUUAAAUAAAAUUUAUAAAAUUAAAAUUGUUAUUAAAUUUUUAUUUGAUUUUUUAAAUUUAAAUUGUAUUAUAAUUUUUUUAUUAAAAUUUAAUGAGUAAAUUUUUUUACAAGGAUAAUACACAUAUAAUUAUGUUACAGAUAAAAAAAAUAUUACAUAAUUUAUUUUAACUAAAUAUUUUAAAAUCAUUAAUAAAUUGUCAAUGCAUAUGUAAAUUUAAUGUGAUUAUGAUUGACAUUUUAAAAUAAUUAAAAUACAUUGAACUAUAAAUUUUUAAGUUUAACAUUAUUCAAUUUUUAAUUAAUAAGUUAUGAACCGUUAGCAUCGUAGCAUUAUACAAUGAUAUGCAAUCCUACCUAUAAAAAGAAAAUUUUAAAUGUUAUAAUACUCUAUUCAACAUUAAUAUUCAUUUUUUUAACACUAUGAGUUUUUACGAAAAGUUAUUAUUAGCAGAUAUAUUUUAAUAAAUUUUUAUUAUAUCUAUAAUCGCGAGAUUUUUUAUUCAUUAAUCAGUAUUAGUCGAAUUUUUAAAAUAUUUGAUUACGAAUUACAUAUUUCUAUAAUAUAAAAAUAUAAAAUCUAAUAUACACAAAAAUCAAAAUAUACAUUUUUAUAUAUUUAUUAUAGAUUUUAAACAAUUUAUUAUAUUCACUCAUCUUAUUAAUUUACUUACUAACGUGUCGGAGUAACGGUUUAUAAACAUCAAUUGCCUCACAUCUUCUAUUUUACAGAUGGCCAAUCAAAUCUCAAUUUUAUUUUAGUCACAUCUAUAUUAUUAAAUUUAUUAAUAAUUUUAAAUUAUGUAAUUUAAUCAAUAUACAUUAUCCUAAAAUAUGAGUUAACUAUAUUUUAAAAUUAUUAAAGUAUUAACUUUUAUGUUUACUAGAAAUUUUUGAGAUAUUAAAGAUUUAAGUAUAGUUGAGAUCUGACAAUAACUACAUUAAAUUUUUAAGUUUAAAUGUGAAUAGUUUUAUAACAAUAUACACAAAAAUUUUAAAAAUCUAAUUAAGAAACAUAUCCAAAUAUUUUCUUAGAAAAAUAGGUUUUUUUUUAUGAUAAAUAUGUUUAAAUAGUAAUUAUUUAAGUCAUUGUUAUUAAAUAUAUCUAGACUAAAAAUUAAAUUAUCAACUGUAAAAAAAUAAAUAAAUAUUAAAAUUUAAUGCAAUUCAAUUUAUUUAAUUAGUUGAAUCAGUAAAUUUUAAAAUAUUUUAAACGGAAUAUAUAUAAAAAAUAUAAUUAAUUUAUACUAAAAAAAUUAAAUGAAAGAUUUUUAGUUAAUUAUCUCAAAGACUAACUAAAAACUAAAAUAAAAUAAAUGGUUUUAACUAAAAAUUACUAAAAUAAGAUAAACUUGACAUUUAAUUUUUUACAUAAAUUAAAAAAAAUAUAAACAAUAUACUUAUAGUAAUAAAAUUUUAUAUUAUAUUUUCUAAUAUAUCAUCCACUUAUAUCAUUAAAUUAUUAAAUUAAAUUAAAAUAAAAUAUAGUUAAAACUAAUAAAAAAAUUAAUAUCUAGAAAAUAAAAUAAAAUAAACUUUUCAAUCAGUGAAUAAAAAUAUUAUUAUAAGAAUCCACUUGGCAUCCUUAGCAUUAUUGUGUUAGUACAUGCCAAACGUGCAUGCUCUAAUAAUAAAAAUAAUAAUAAUAACAACAAUAAUAAAAAUACCAAACAUGCACAAACUAUAACAUAAUAAUAAUAAUUCCAUUUAACUUAAUUUUUUUUAUAAGUAAUAAUAUUUUACAAUAAUAAUAAUAAUAAUAAUAAUAAUAAUAAUAAUAAUAAUAAUAAUUUGCUUGCACCCGAUUUUACUAUUUACUCAAAAUAUAAAAAAAUUAAAAUUUUCUUUAUAUUAAUCUGACUCAAUACCACGUGUCAUUAGAGCUAAUAACGUUUAAUUCAAAUUGAAGAUGAUGAGGGUCGGAUGCACAUCAUCCGGGUCGAAUGCACAUCAUCCGGGUCGGAUUGAAUGCUCGUCAUAUUAUACCGGUCUGGGUAAGAUUCGCGCAAUAAUAAUAAAUAUCACAAAUACCAAAGCAGCAGAGGUCCAAUGUAGAGCCAAUAGAAAGCAAGUGGCGUUUUGGGUGAGUGUCAUCCCUUACGUUUAAGUCAAUGAGAUUUCUGAGCCUUACUCUCCUCUUUUAAUUCCUGCUUUUACAACACUCUUUGAAUUGCUGAAACGACUAUGGAUAAUUUCCAACAGCUUCGUCUCCAUACUUCUCAUCUCCAUUGCCUCUCAUGCUCCUCUCCCUCUAUAGCUCAAGCCAAUAAUUAAAUAAUGACUAUUUAUUUAUUUAUUUAUUUAUAUAUAAUUGUGUUAAAAAUUUAAAAAUAUUGAUUAUAUGUUCUUAAUAAAUUGUCAUGUGGUAUGAUGUACAAAGACCCACCAUGAUAAUAAAAUGUUCAAGCUAGUGGAUUUGAAUAUAUGGGUCCUACCAUAAUAAAAUUAAUUUAAAUAAUUAAAAUUUUGAAAAAAAAAAAAGAAGCUUUCUCUAUAAGUUGCGUAUUAGAUUUGGUAGUUAAUGCGUCAAUUUCGCCAAACUGUGUUACCACUUUUACUUAAAAUUUUUGUGUAUAUUUAUGCAAGAAGUUAAGAGAAUGAGAAUAAAGUAAACUUGUGAAAUAAGGCAGCUUAAUUAUAAUUUCCAUUAUAUUUUAAAUUUUAAUAUUCUGAUUUUAUUAAUUUUUGAUAAAAUCACUGUGAAAAAAUUGCAGCUGCGAAUAUAUCAGACAUUGAGCAAAACAUAUAAUUCAUGUGAGCACAUGUGAACUCGGAAAUUAAAAGACAGCAGGUGUAGGUGACAAAACAUCAAAACAUCAUAUGAUGUAUGUAAUGAGAUUACACAAAAAGGUGAGAAAUGGAAGGUGAGGAGGAAAAUCAAAUCUGUUUUGUAUCAAGUUGGGAGAAAGAAGAAUCAUUGAUUUAAACAUGGAGUAAUUAAUAAAAAGAAAAUUGUUUAUUUAAUGAAAAAAGCAGAGAUCAAUUUGCUAGCAAAAUCUGGAAAUUAGAGAAUUAAAUGGCAGAUGCACACGUGGCAAGAAGAAAUCUGAACCGCACAGUAUUUUACAACACAAGACGUAGACCAAUUUGGAUAAGGCCAUACCCACUCUUUGCCAGUUGCCACUCUACUAUAAAUUUCCAUGCAAACCACACAUCCAGCCAUAAACCAAAACAACCUCAUUUCUCCUUCUCCGGCGUCUCCUCCACAACGUCUAUCUCUACCUUUACUCUUCUCACAACCAUCUCUCAUGGAGUCUGAUCCUAGGAAACAACAACCACCCAAGCUCCCUUCUUCUCAACCUCCUCCACCUCCUCUACCAUUAGAUCCUCCUCCACCCUCGUCGAGGUCGCUUAGAAAGAUUGUAGUGGUGGCCUCCAUAGCUGCCGGUGUCCAGUUCGGCUGGGCCUUGCAGCUCUCUCUUUUGACACCUUACGUUCAGCUUCUUGGCAUACCUCACACCUGGGCUGCUUUCAUUUGGCUAUGUGGACCCAUUUCCGGAAUGCUUGUCCAGCCUAUUGUCGGCUACCAUAGCGACCGUUGCACCUCCCGUUUUGGCCGUCGGCGACCCUUUAUUGCUGCCGGUUCUGUCGCUGUUGCUGUGGCUGUUUUCCUCAUUGGUUAUGCUGCUGACCUUGGCCACCUCUCUGGUGACCCUCUUUCCAAGAGCCCCAAACCACGAGCUAUUGCUGUGUUUGUUGUCGGAUUCUGGAUUCUGGACGUCGCUAAUAACAUGCUCCAGGGUCCUUGCCGUGCUCUUCUCGCCGAUCUUUCUGGUGCCAAUCAGAAGAAGACACGUAUAGCUAAUGCACUGUACUCCUUCUUCAUGGCCGUCGGAAACGUUCUUGGCUUCGCCGCUGGAUCCUACACUCAUUUAUAUAAAAUAUUUCCGUUCUCAAAGACUACAGCUUGCGACGUUUACUGUGCAAAUCUGAAAUCUUGUUUCUUUAUCUCCAUUGUUUUGCUUUCAUCUCUCACGUUGUUAGCUCUCAUUUAUGUUCGUGAAAGACCUUGGUCCCCGGAGCAGAGAAACACCGCUGCGGGUGACGAUGAGGAGGAGGAGGAAGGACCGUCGGAAUCUUCUCCGAUGCCGUUCUUCGGAGAAAUAUAUGCGGCUUUGAAGAAUCUACAGAGACCCAUGUGGAUCCUUCUCCUUGUGACAUGCUUGAACUGGGUUGCAUGGUUCCCAUUUUUGUUGUUCGAUACCGACUGGAUGGGCAGAGAGGUGUACGGCGGAGAUUCAAACGGGAAUUCCGAUCAGGUGAGGCUGUAUGACCGUGGGGUUCGCGCCGGUGCACUGGGUCUGAUGCUGAACUCGGUGGUCUUGGGGUUCACUUCUCUGGGUGUGGAGGUGUUAGCGCGUGGGGUCGGAGGAGUGAAAAGAUUGUGGGGUAUAGUGAAUUUCAUUCUUGCAUUUUGCUUGGCAAUGACCAUCUUGGUUACCAAAAUGGCUGAAUCCCACAGAAAAUUCACCACCGUGGAAGGCGGCGCCACCGUUACCUUGCCACCACCUGGAGGCGUCAAGGCUGGUGCAUUGGCCCUUUUUGCGGUGAUGGGUAUCCCUCAAGCUGUAAGUCCUUGCUUACCUUUCCCCUCAAUCUCUUUCUUUUUUCUCCUUUUUUUUUUUUUAAUUAUUAUUUUUUCUAUUUUUUAUUUUUCUAAUUUGUAAUUUAUCAGUCAACAGUCAACACUGAACAACAUUUGGUAACAGCACCUACCUGUCUCUUACUUAAAAGAAAAUAAAUAUAGUUGUAUCAUACAACUUCAAUUGACAUGUAAUUCUGUCUUUUUAUCUGUCAAUUAAUGGUUUUUUAAUAUAUUUUUUUAAUUUAUUAAGUAUUUAAAAGGGUAAAUAAUUAAAUAAUCCACCUCAACUAGUUUUAAAUUAAGAUUUUGUAGCUUAUUUCUUUAUUUUACUUUGUGCAGAUAACUUACAGCAUUCCUUUUGCUUUGGCAUCAAUAUUUUGUAACACUGCUGGUGCUGGCCAAGGUAAUUAAUUAAUUACUAUAUUAUAAAAAAAAAUUAAAUUCAAGACUUAAUAAAAUCUAACCCAUUUCAAUUUUUCAAUAGGACUUUCUUUGGGAGUUCUAAAUCUUUCAAUAGUUAUACCACAGGUAUGAUUCUCUCUCUCUCUCUCUCUCUCCCCUUUUAUUUUCAAAUUAUUAUUUUUUUUAAAUAAACAAUUGUGUUUCUCUAAGAAGAUUUGGCAACUUGUUAAAAUCAUUGAUGUGAUGAUUAAGAGGAAUAUUUUCUUGGUGAAGAACAUGCGUAGGCAUUUUAGCAAAGUAUGGGCAACAAUCCCUAGCUUUUGAUAUUAUUGAAUAAGUCAAAAAAUUACAGGCACAGCACUGGCUGGCUUUGGAGUUAUUCAGGGGAAAAUAACAAUUUUUUUUUUUUUUUAAAUAAAAGAGCUAUACCCACUUUUUCAAACAACCGCAAAGUUUCAAUCUGUUUUCUUCCUCCUGUGACUCACAAGGAAAAGAGAGACAAUUCAAGUUUGAUUUUUGAAAAACUUAUUGUUGGAAGGAAUACCCAUGAUCCGAAAACAGAUAUUGUGGGACACCGACGAAUUAAAAAAGGAUCAUAUACGAAUUUGUUUUGUGUAAAAGAGAAAAAGAAAAAGAAAAAGAGAAAGAAAAAGGAAAAGAUUUAAUUGCAGCUUUAUAACAAUAUUGUUAGUUAAGCUAAAUUAGCAUUAAGGAAUAUGGAUUUAUAACUUUUUCCAUGUGUGCUCAUACUUAGAAUUUUUUUUUUUUUUUUUAUUGCAGNNNNNNNNNNNNNNNNNNNNNNNNNNNNNNNNNNNNNNNNNNNNNNNNNNNNNNNNNNNNNNNNNNNNNNNNNNNNNNNNNNNNNNNNNNNNNNNNNNNNNNNNNNNNNNNNNNNNNNNNNNNNNNNNNNNNNNNNNNNNNNNNNNNNNNNNNNNNNNNNNNNNNNNNNNNNNNNNNNNNNNNNNNNNNNNNNNNNNNNNNNNNNNNNNNNNNNNNNNNNNNNNNNNNNNNNNNNNNNNNNNNNNNNNNNNNNAAAAAACCCCUUUUGGAAGCUUCUCUAAUUUGCUUUCUUUUUUUUUAAAAAAAAUAUGUGUGAGAAAGGCCAGAAUGGUCAUGGUUCAUGUUGUAAUAGGAUCAUCAAUGGCCAAAAAUGGUUCAUUUGGAUGAAAUCAAUGGCUGUACAUAUCCAUGCUUAAAUCUUCAAUGGAAUUAAUUAAAAUUGAUAUGCAGUCAUCUCAAUUCUAUCAAUAAUGAUUCUACACUUCAAUUAAUGCUUGAUUAAUUAAAU